CCGUAACACCCCCAGAGACUCAAAGGUAAGUGGUCUGGGUUGGGACCUGGGCAUUUGGAUAUUUAAAAGCUUUUCAGGAGAUUGCAGCUAGCAGCUAAGUUUGAGGACUCUUGAUCUAAGAUUGCACAAAACCCAAGGACGUUUGUACAUGCUGAUUCUUCUUCUCCUCUCCCCUUCUCCUCCUCCUCCUUUUCCUCCUCCUCCUCCUCUUCCCUGCUUUUGAAGCAGGAGAUAUCUCCCCCUUUGAGCUGUCAAACCCAAGAUAACAAACCAACACCUCCCCCUCCCAGUAGGACUGGUUCUGAAGGGGUUAAACAAAAAAGUGGGCAGAGAACAGAAAGACACUGAUGUGGAAUGUGAGAGAAGACUCACCAGGGAGUCUUCCUCUUAAUCCAGAUCCCCUAGAAGUUCAGGGGCUGGCCAGAGCUGCCCCAUCAUUUGGUAAAUUUCACUGAGCAGGCAGAGUAAGAUCCCCUGUAGCUGAUAAAAAUGAUCCCUUAUAUUUAGGUAACAGCAAAGUGGUUACCAGCAUGGGCUUGGAGUCCCCACAGCCAGCCCGUCCCUCAGGAAUUCAUGGAACCAUUUGUAGCCUCAGUUUCCUCACCUGCAAAAUGGGUAUGAUAGUGUAAGACAUGUAGACUUGUUGUGGGAAUUAUUAACAACUAAAGAUAAUGGGGGGGGGGGCGCCUGGGUGGCUCAUUCGGUUAAGCGUCCGACUUCAGCUCAGGUCACGAUCUCGAGGUCCGUGAGUUCGAGCCCCGCAUCGGGCUCUGGGCUGACAGCUCAGAGCCUGGAGCCUGCUUCUGAUUCUGUGUCUCCUUCUCUCUCUGCCCCUCCCCCGUUCAUGCUCUGUCUCUCUCUGUCUCAAAAAUAAAGAUUAAAAAAAAAAUUAACAAUUAAAGAUAAUGGUUACUAAGGGCGUACCUGUGCCUGGUGCUUGCCAGCUUUCUGUGCAUUGCCACAUUCGACUCCUCAUAUGGCCCACAAGGUAGGACUAUAAUUACCCCCUAUGAUGGUUGAAGAAGCUGGGCCUCAGAAAGGCCAAAGAACUUGCUCAGGGUUAUAUAAUUAGGAAGAGGCACAUCCCCGGGCAUCUGUCUCUAGGGCCCAUGUGCGGAAGUAAUCUGCUGUUUCCCUCAUUGACUGAGAAUGUGGACAAAACACUUUGCACAGGGCAUCUCAGUGGCGCAUUCCCAUAAACAACAGUUAUCGCUGCUGCCAGCAAAGCACUUUCACUGAAUUGACUCAUUCGUUCAUUCACAAUAUAUUUGUUAUUGAGAGCCCACUAUGUGCCAGGCAGUUUCCCAGAUUCUAGAGCUAAAACAGUGAGUAAGAGGGAAGCCAAGUCUCUGUGAAUUCACAAUCCGCUGAAUGAGGGAAAUGGGAGAAAGUAUCAUGGAUCCUCGUUUUUUUGCAGAUUCUGUAGUCGCGAAUCCCCCUACUCGCUGAAAUGUAUUUGUAACCCUGAAAUCAAUACCUGCAGCACUUUCGUGGUCAUGCAUGGACAUGGGCAGAGUGGCAGAAAAUUGGAGUUGCCCAACAUGCAUGUUCCCAGCUGAGGUCAAAAAGGGGCAACGCUGUGCCUUCUGGUUUUAGCUCUCAUACUGUAAACAGGUGUCCUCUUUGUGGUUUAUUUUGUGCCAUGUUUUCUGCAUUUUUGUGCUUUUUCUGUUGGUUGGUGAUUUCUGUUUAAAAUCACCCCCAAGCAUCAUGCUCAAGUGCUGACUAGUGCCCCUAAACACAAGAAGGUUGUGAGGUGCCUUACAGAGAAAAUGUGUAUUAUUAGAUAAGCUUUGUUCAGGCAUGAGCUGUCCUGGGUUUGGCUGAGUUCAAUAUGAAUGAAUCAACAGUAUUUAUUAAAUAAGGUGUCUUUAAAAAGAAACACACAUGGGGUGCCUGGUGGCUCAGUCAGUUAAGCAUCCGGACUUCAGGGCAGGUCAUGAUCUCAUGGUUUGUGAGUUUGAGCCCCUGUGUCAGGCUCUGUGCUGACAGCUCAGAGCCCGGAGCCUGCUUCGGAUUCUGUGUCUUCCCCUCUCUCCACCCCUCCCCUGCUCAUGCUCUGUUUCUCUCUGUCUCUCAAAAAUAAGUAAAUGUUAAUAAAUAAAUAAAUAAAUAAAUUUUAAAAGAAACAUACAUAAAACAAGGUUAGGUAUUGAUUGAUCUGUUGAUGAAAAUGUGACCAGAGGCUCACAGAAACCUAACUUCGGUUUGUUUUUUUUUUCCCUGGGAACAAUGGUUCAGUUUUUGCUAAUUCCAUAUUCACGGCAAAUUUACAGAACAUAGCUGCUGCGAAUAAUGAGAAUUGACUGAAAUUACACAUCACUGCACAUGCAAUGAAAGAAUCGAGGUGGGGAGGCAUACAGAAGGGGCCUGCCUUAGACUGGGUAUCAGAAAGGUGUGAAGCAGCCAAGCACAGGGUGAGGAAAAAGUGUUUAGGCAGAAAAAGUAGCAUGUGCAAAGGCCCAGAGGUAGUCAGGAGCUUGGCAAGGUCAGGGAACUCAAGGAAAGCCAGUAUGUAGGGAGUGUGGUAGGCAAAUAGAACAGAAGUACAAUAAUGAUAAUAUGCUGGAGACAGAGGUUGAGGCCAGGUGGCACUGUGUUUUGGGGACAGCUCUCAUUUCAUGCGAUUAGCACAGUAAUCCUGGCAGGCUGGGCAGGAUGGUUUCCACUUCUGACAGAUGAUGAAAUUGGUGCCCCAUGCAGUUAAAUACCUUGUCGUAUGUUACACAGCUGGUAAGCAGCAAAACUACCUCCAGCACCUCCGUCUUAAUCUGAUGCUGAACAGACAGUUGAUGAGAGAUCUCAGGACACGGUCCUGGGCUGGAGAUUUGGUUUGGUUUGGGGAGGGAUCACUAACUAAGCGGUUGCAGAAGCCCUCAAGCAUGGAUGAAACUACCUGGGACAGUGGGUGGAGUGUGGAGAAGACAAAUCCCAUGCCCUUUAAAAAUAAAACUAUUCCUGGUAUAAAACCAGUAAUGCCUCAGUAGAAGAGUCCCAGUUGCCUGCAGGGGCAGGGGGAGGAGUGAGGAUAGGCACAAAGUUGUAGAAAAAGGCACUGAGAAGGUCUGAUGCAAGCUACCCCCUAAAUUCUAGGUCUGGCACUGGGCCUUCCCGUCCAUGGGAUAGCCAGGUCUCAAUCUGCCUCUUGUCCCUGCAGGAUGGUGAUCUUGAACAGGGGUCAGCAAACGUUUUUCUGUAAAGGGCCAGGUAGGAAAUACUUUGAGCUUUGCGGAUCAUAUGGUUUCAGUUGCAUAUGCUCUCACCUGUGUGUCUGUGGAGUAAAAGCAGCUGUAGAGGGUAUGGAAAUGAAUGGGUGUAACUUUGUUCCAAUAAGACUUAAUUUACAUACACCGAAAUUUGUGUUUCAUAGGAUUUUAAUGGGUCACAAAAUGUUAUUCUUAUUUUGAUUUGUUAAAACUGUUUAAAAAUGGGAAAAACAUCCUUAGCUCACAACUGAACAGAAGCAGGCAGUGGGCUGGCUGUGGCUCGUGGGCUGUAGUUUGCCAACUCUUUAUCUAGAGUCAUGGGACCUGAGGAUCAUAGGAAUAUUAAAUGUCCAUCUAGCUAAAUCUUUACCUGACCCAUGAAUCCCCAUCGAGGGUCCUCAGCUAUUUCUUGAGGUCUCCAAUGACGUGGCGUUUACUCACUGGGCACCUCAUUCCAGGGUUAAAGUUUAAACUAUGCCAUGGUUGGGGUUUCCCCAAAAGCAGAUCAUGAGACAAGGAUUUGGGUGCCAGGACUUUAAUUGGGAAGUGAUGGCAGAAAGCCCGGUGAGAGUGCAGUGGACCUGGGGAAGAGAGGAAAGCCAUGUGGACAAGGGGAAAGGGUGUGUUGGUAAGUGAGGUACCACUGGGGCAACGGCUCAGUCUCACUGGGGACCCUUGGAGAGAUCAUAUGUCCCAUGACGAGGCAAGGAAGCUGGGGUAUUUCCCUGCCUUGGCGCUUCUGCUCACCAUCUGUGGUAUACACGAUGCAGCCAGAAAAAGCCUUCAGGCAGGAAAAAGGCCACCAGCGCAACAGUCUGCAGGUCUGCAGGUGACCUCUGGGGGGCGGCGACGAGUACAGGGGGGAAGCUACAAAGUGUUUCAGAUUUGGGUGUUUUGGGUGUGCCGUGUAUACACCACUGGGGACCUUGUGAGAUGAUCUGGUGUGGAAUAGAGUCGUGUCACUAAACAACGUGAAGCCUCAGACUAGGAUAGAUGUUCCCUUUUAAGCUGCCUCUUUGAUCCUCUCCAAGCUGCUGUCUGUCCCCAGAGCAGAAGCUACAACCACACGGGCCUUAUCCUUCCCAGAGCUCACCAGACUCUCCUGGCUACAGUCAACAAAAGAAGUCUCAGUGUAGGACUCAACUGGCUUGUCUCUCCUUUUUAUGGAAAAGAUGGCAGUCCUCAAAUUCAGGUCGUGGAACAGGCAGUCUUCGUUAGCUAGCAUUUCGUAACAUCGUGUUGUUUAUUUUUUUAUUUUUAUUUUUGAACGUUUAUAUAUUUUUGAGACAGAGCAUGAACGGGGGAGGGUCAGAGAGAGAGAGAGGGAGACACAGAAUCUGAAACAGGCUCCAGGCUCCGAGCUGUCAGCACAGAGCCCGACGCGGGGCUUGAACUCACGAACCGUGAGAUCAUGACCUGAGCUGAAGUCGGACACUUAACUGAGCCACCCAGGCACCCCACGUGUUGUUUAUUUUUAUAGCUCCCACCUCUACAGGGCAAGUGUUUGUCUCUCUACAUUUACAGUAGUAAUAUAGAGAGCUUUCUUUAAAAUAAAUUUACAUAGGACCGCCUGGGUGGCUCAAUCCGUUAAGCGUCCGACUCUUGGUUUCGGUUCAGGUCACGAUCUCACAGUUUCAUCAGUUCGAGCCCCGUGUCAGGCUCUGCACUGGCAGCACAGAGUCUGCUUGGGAUUCUCCUCUCUCCCUCUCUCCUUGCUCCUCCCCCAUUCACACUGUUUCUCUCUCAAAAUAAAUUUAAAAAAAUGUUUUAACUUAAAGAUAAAAUAGAUUUACAUAAAUUUAUUUCUACUUAAAAACAUGAAAAAUAGUAUAGAUAGUAUGAGAACAUGAUAAAAAUAAUAGUUGCCACUUACUGAGCACUUACUAUGUGCUAUGUGUUAUUCUAAGCCCCCUUCUCGCAUAAUUUCAUUACUCCUCACCACAGUCACAUGGGUUUAGUCCUAUUUGAGGUAGGUACUAUUAUUAGCUGAGAAAACAGGCCCAGGGAAGUUAUUACAUAACUUGCCCAAAGUUAUAUAGCUAGUAAGUGACAACUGGAAAGUGAACCCGGGUUGUCCUGCGCCACAGUUUAUGUUCUUAAUUACAGGUUUAAACUUCUCAAAAUUUGACAAAAGGAAGAAAGGAAGUGAAGAUAUUAUUUGAAUUAUUGGUAGUAGAGGAAAUCUGCCGUUGGAAAUUUCCUCUUUCUUAUCCACUUGGAAUCCUUCUCCCUGAAUCUGCUGGCCCUUGGUUGUCAUACUUUCUUCUGGAGCCUCAGGGAACAAAUCUGUCCCCUUUUCAUUGCGACAGUCCUUCAGAUAUUUGAUGAUAGGGAACCUGCUGGCCCUACCAGAUCCUCCCUGUUCUAGAUUAAACAUUGCCAGCUUCUUCAGCUUAUACUCUAUCGUGUGUUCUUGGCAUCAUACCGCGUCCCCCCCCCCCAAGCAAAGGGCCUCUCUCUUCCUUAAUUCUUUUUUGUCCCGUGAGACUCAUAAAGUUGCUUUUGGUGCCGCAUGCUUUGUUUUCAGGGCCCCCACAGCUCACUCUGGGCACAGGGUUGAUAGCUGUGGUUGGGGUGAUUGAUGUGGCAAAGCGCAGCUAGACUGUGACGUCCAGGGAGAGGCUGUCACUGAAAGAAAGCCCCCUCAGGGCCAGCAUGGAGGGGGCCUGGCACUGGUGGAGCUCAUUCUUCACGGGCCAGGGAUGGAGCUUGGUGCACCAUCCAUAGUUUGUUGAUUCCUUGGUGCACAUGGAGCUAAUCAGGCUGAAAGGGACAGACUAACCAAAUUCACAGGAGCCUGGUAAGGAAGCCAGACCACAAAUAUAUUAAAUCACAAUGGGACAAGCACUGCGAGGCAGCCUGAAAACUUUAUGUCAGCUUGUCAGCACAUUCCUUCAUCUGUAGGGAAGCCCGCAUGGGAAGCCAAGGUCUAGUUAGGUCUGUAUUCACAGAACCAAAACAAGGUGAGCAGGAUGGAUGAUUUUUAAUAGGACAGCCUAAGAUGUUUGCAUCCCCUGAGGGGUACAAGGGUCCACACUGACAGCGCGCCUGAUCUAAGCCCCCGUCCCUGUGCCCACGGCAGACGUGACUGAAAUCGGUGACCAAAUCGUUGCCUCCCUCCUGCUCCCUGGACCAACCGUACGAUUCUGUCAAGAGAGUAUUCCAGGAAGCUCUGGCCAGCCCUCUGAGCCGCCUGUAACGUUCAAGAGUUUCCAGCAACCCCACUGCUCUGAACAACGUGGGCGAUAAGACAGACUCUCAAAGCCUUUCUUUUGUACCAGCUUUCCUGAGCUCCUCGCACUCCACCAUUUCUGUCUACCUAAUAUUCCUUCAGCUUAUGUUAAUACAAUCGGCCUUUUUUUCCCCCUCAUCGUCACGUCUUGAUUUGAUUUCCAGGCCUUGCUCUUCCUGCUUUGUCCAGAGGCGCAUCCUGUCCUGUCUUGAGAACUUCUGCAGAUCAGUAAUUACAGAUACUGUGUGUGCAUUCUGCUGAUACACUGUCCCACAUUUUGGGGUCACUUGCUGUGCACCUUCCAACAAUAGCCUCUUGAAGCUGAGACACCGUUUCCUGGGAUGCUGAGUUCCAUUAUAGAAUUGGCAGCAACCCAGUUUUACACUGUUGCUGCGGGGCGCGAGGUAAGAGGGGCGCCAGAGAGGAAGCUUAGGGUCCCAAGCCCAAGAGAUCGCUGAGCUUGCUGUUAUGAGCACCGAUUGUGCUUCUCUGAGUGUGUUGGGAGACCUAUUAUUUUGGAACAAGCCGAAUUUGCCAGCUUUGAAAAACGUACGUUUUGGACAUGGCCUCUCCUCCCACCCAUCUGAAGAACCUUGACUUACCUAAAAGGAAGACAAAAUGCAUAUGGAGAAUCUGUGGCCCCUGGGGCUACUAAGGGAGGCCAUCUUGAGAGGAAAAGCGGUCCCUGCCCUCAGGGGCCGCCAGGCUGCCUCGCCUGAGAGGGGAGAUCCAGUUCUCAUAUGAGGAAGGCUGCCAGUCUCAUGAGAGAGGCGCCAUCCCUAACCUCAGGGAGUCCGAUGGAGGAGGAGUCCGAUGGAGGAGGGGUGAAUUGUUCCCCCCACUCUGCCGAUAUCACUGUAUCUGCGGCUUCUCUGAAGGCCAUCAACAGGCAGGGAAUGGGGCCAGCUUCAUUCACAACUCUGAUACACUUAUGCAAAGUCACAGCAGAGGGCCAGAGGUUCUGAGGGUAAACCUGGGGAUUUUUUAAAAAUAGAUUUUAUUUUUUUUAGACCAGUUUAGAUUUACAGAAAAAUUGAGAUGAUAGCAUAGAGAGUUCCCACAUACCCCACACCCAGUUUCCCCUAUUAUUAACAGUAACAAACGUGCUAUGGUACAUUUGUUGUAACAAAAUGAACUAAUAUGAAUACAUUGUAACCAAAGUCCAUAGCUGAUUCAGUUUUUCUUAGUGUUUACCUUGAUUCCAAGAACUCAUCUAGUAUCACAUUUAGUUGUUACUUCUUCCGUUCCUACUGUCUGUGACUGUAUUAGAAUUUCCUUGUUUUUGUUUUUAAGGUUUUUUUAAUGUUUGUUUUUUGAGAGAGAGAGAAACAGAGUACGAGUAGGGAAGGGGCAGAGAGAGAGGGAGACACAGAAUCCAAAGCAGGCUUCAGGCUCUGAGCUGUCAGCACAGAGCCCGACGCAGGGCUCGAACCUAUGAACUGUGAGAUCAUGACUUGAGCCGAAGUUAGACACUUAACCCACUGAGCCACGCAGGUGCCCCAGAAUUUCCUUGUUUUUGAUGACUUUCACAGUUUUGAGAAGUACUGGUCGGGUAUAUUGUAGAAUAACCCCUCUAUUGGAAUUUGUCUGAUCUUUUUCUCAUGGUUAGACUGGUGUUAUGGGUUUGGGAGAGGAAGGCCACAGAGGUAAAGUGCCAUUUUCAUCACUUCAUGGUCAACAUGACCUAUCGCUGUUGAUACUGACCUCGAUCACCUGACUGAACGCUUGUCAGGUCUGUCCACUGUAAGGUUACUCUGUUCCCGUCCCCCCCACCCACUCCAUUCCAUGCCAUACUCUUGGAAGGAAGUGAUUAUGCACAGCCCAUGCUUGAGGCACUGGGGAGUUCUAUCCUCCCUUCUUUAGGGUAGUAUAUCUACAUUAUUUAUUUGGAAUUCUUCACAGAUGAUUUGGCUCUUCUCUCCCAUUUAUUAAUUUCUCUUUUUAUUUAUAAUAGUAUGGACUCAUGGGCUUUAUUUUAUACUCUGGGUUAUAAUCCAAUACACUUAGUUUUGUUGUUCAAAAGAUUCCAUCUUUGGCCACUGGGAAUGGAAUUUGUGUUUUUAAACUAGCUCCUGAGGCAUUUCUUCUGUGUAUUAGAGUUUGAGACCCAUGUAGUUCUGGGUUGUUAGCCCAGCUCCACCACUACUGGCCAUGUGUGUGUUCUUGGCAAGUUGCUUAACCACUUGGGCCUCAGUUUCCUCAGCUGAAAAUGGAGCUCAUGUUGUUCCCUACCAUUUAGGGUUAUUGAGUGAGACGCACCAUAGUAAGUCCUCUGUACACAGAAGUUGUUGUUAUUGGGAGUUUGGCAUUCAAAUUCCUUCUGGAUCUGCUCCAGAAGGUUACAGAUCAAGGCCAAAUAUGCCUUUAUAAUACUUACCUUCCAAGACGACAGACUUGUGUGGCACAUGUUCCUGUCAUCUGCUCCCUGCUCACCUCCUCUCCCUGCUGAACCGGCAUUCUCUUUAGAGACAGACAGACAGACAGACAACCCACCUGAAGUUCCCUCCCCCAGUUCACACACCCGCACAUCCUCAUUCUUUCAAAGCCCCCUGAAACACCACUUCCUCUGUGAUACCACCUGCCAGCCAAGCAAAAGUCCCCCUCUUCCUCUCAGCCACCAGAGUGCCCACUGUGCCCGCUCUUGCCUGACAGCCCUUAUCACUGGAGACCCUGCAUCAGAGCAAGGGGACUGUCCUCCCUGAACAGUCCUCAUCUCCAUUCAUCUUUCUAUCCCGCCUGCACACGAGGGGCUCGCCGCACCAGCCUGUGGUCUUGUUUCCACCUCUGUAAGUUUUGACGAGGGGAAAGAACUUAUCCUGGGUGCUGACUGGGCUUAACUGGACAGACAGCCUGUGAGGGCAGAACUUCGCAGAAGUCGAGAGGCUGACUGUGUGUUAUUUACACACACACACACACACACACACACACACACACACUGAUUGUGGGAAAAUAUACAUGAUGUAAGGUUUACCAUUUUAACCAUAUAAAAAUGUACAGUUCAGUGGCAUUAAGUACCUUACAUGGUUGUGUAACCAAACAUGACCACCAUCCAUCUCUAGAAUUUUCUCAUCUUCCUAAACUCAGUAAACAAAGACUUCAAUUUUCUGAUUAAUUUUAAUUUCCUCCCCAUUCCCUCCUUCCUCCAGACUCUGACAACCACCACUGCACUUUCCAUCUCUAUAAUUUUGACUCCUCCAGGUACACUAUGUCCGUGAUAUCGUGCCAUAUUUGUUCUUUUGUGACUGGCUUAUUUCACUUGGUAUAAAUGUCUCCAGGGUUCAUCCUGGAGACAUUUUUAUUUUAAAAAUAAAAUCUAUUUUUAAAAAAUCCCCAGGUUUACCCCCAGAACCUCUGGCCCUCUGCUGUGACUUUGCAUAAGUGUAUCAGUGCCACACGUUGUGGCAGGUGUCAGAAUAUCCUUCCUUUUUAAGAUGGAAUCGUAUCCUGUUGUAUGCGUGUAUGGCAUUAGGUUUAUCCAUUCUUCUGUCCGUGGACUUGUGGGUUGCUUCUAUGUUUUGGCCAUUGUGAAUAAUACUGCCGUGAGCGUAAGUGUACAAAUGUCCUUGCUUUCAGUUCUUUUGGGUAUAUAUCCAGAGUGGAAUUGCUGGAUGAUAAGGUAAUUCUACUAUUUUAUUUUUUGAGGAAUCACCAUACCAUUUCCUCAGUGUCUAUGCCAUUUUUCAUUCCCAUCAGCAAUGCGCAGAGCUUUCUAUUUCUCCAUACCCUUGUCAACAUUUGUUAUUUUCUGGGUUUUGGGGUAAUAGCCAUUCUAAUAGGAUCUCAUUGUGAUUUUGAUUUGCAUUUUCCUGAUGACUAGUGAUGUUGAGCAUCUUUUCACGUGCUCGAUGGCCAUUUAUAUAUCUUCUUUGGAGAAAUGUCUGUUAGGUCCUUUGUCCAUUUUUGAAACAGGUUGGGUUUUGUUUUGCUUUGUUUUUGCUGUUAAGUUGUAGGAGGUCUUUGUGUAUUCCAGAUACUCAUCCCUUAUCAGAUGUGUGAUGUGCAAAUAUUUUCUCCCAUCCUGUCUUUUCACUUUGUUGAUAGUGUCCUUUGGUACACCAAAGUUUUUCAUCUUAAGGAAGUUCAGUUUAUCUAGUUUUUCUUUUGUUAUCUGUGCUUUUGGUGGCAUCUGGAAGCAAUCAUUAUCAAGUUCAAUGUCACAAGGCUUUUACUCUGUGUUUUCUCAUAAGAGUUUACAGUUUUAGAUUUUAUGUUUAGGUCUUUGUUCCAUUUUAUUUAUUUAUUUAUUAAUUUUUUAUUUUUUUAUUUUUUAUUUUUUUUUUCAACGUUUAUUUAUUUUGGGGACAGAGAGAGACAGAGCAUGAACGGGCGAGGGGCAGAGAGAGAGGGAGACACAGAAUCGGAAGCAGGCUCCAGGCUCUGAGCCAUCAGCCCAGAGCCUGAUGCGGGGCUCGACCUCACGGACCACGAGAUCGUGACCUGGCUGAAGUCGGACGCUUAACCGACUGUGCCACCCAGGCGCCCCGUCUUUGUUCCAUUUUAGUUAAUUCUGGUAUAAAGUGUCCAGCUUCAUUUCUUUUGCAUGUGGGUAUUCAGUUCUCCCAACACUAUUUGUUGAAAAGACUAUCCUUUCCCCCGUAAGUGUUUUUGGCCUCCUGUUGAAAAUCAUUUGACCAUACACGUGAGGGUUUAUUUCUAGGCCCUCUAUCCUAUUGCUCUAUAUGUCUGUAUACCAGUGUCAAGCUGUGUUGAUUACUAUACCUAUGUUGUAAGUUUUGAUAUCAGAAAGUGUGAGUCCUCCUACUUUGUUCAUCUUUUUCAAGAUCAUUUUGGCUCUUUGAGGUUUCUCGAGAUUCCAUAUAAAUUUUAGUAUGGAUUUUUCUAUUUCUGAAAAAAAAAGUCGUUGGGAUUUUGAUAGAGAUUGCAUCGAAUCUAUAGAUUGCUUUGAGUAGUAUUUCCAUCUUAAUGUUAAGCUUCCUUAUCAAUGAACAUGGGAUGUCUUUCCAUUUAUUUGUAUCUUCUUUAAUUUCUUUCAGCAAUGUUUUACAGUUUUUAGUGUAUGAGUCUUUUACCUCCUUGGUUAAUUUUAUUUGUAAGUAUUUUAUUCAUCUUUGAUGCUUACUUCCACUUUUUAGAGUCUUGAUAUAUUGAAAAAUGAAGAAAUACAGCUUAAACUGUAUGAUCCUGUCAGUGUUUCUCAGGGACAACAUGUAUAGACAGUGAUAGAAUUAUAUAGUGUCAAAAGCCUAACUCUGAGUCCCUUUGUGAAUGUGAGGUUCCCCUGUCCACUCACCCCCACCAUGACGGGAGGAAGGGGGCUGAGUGGUUCCUUUUACUGGGAUAGGAGUGAGGAUAGAAAAAUAUUCCUCCAGGUGAGCCCUGCUGAAGGAUCCAGCAAAGACCUGAAGUCACCAUAAGCCUAAUUAAAACACCUCCUCAGCAUGUGAUGCUGAGAACAUUCAGACUCCUUUGAAGCCUCAGGCUAGAAGACCCUCAAGCCCCUAGGUCAUGCAGGCUCUCUACCUGGAACGGAAACAGUGACCCAGCGAUGCAGAUGAAACAGAACCACCAGCUUGCCCACUCCCACAGUCUCACUAACCCCGCGGGGAUUUUGUUGGCUGUGUUUCUGGCCCACAUCAGUUUCAAUUUGAACAGUUGUGUGAGGACAAAAGGUGAGGGAGCACAGAGUGCGAGGGCCAGUCCCUGCUCAGGCAUUUGCUCACCCCCUGGAAGUCUUUGAAACAACAAGCCUCUUCUCUUCUGUCACUCAACUGUCUCAGGGCUUUUUUGACCUCAGAGUCUCCAGUGAAACUCUGUUCUUCCUCAGGCAGUGAUUUAUUUUGCUUCUCUCUCUCUCUCUCUCUCUCUCUUUUUUUUUUCUUUUGGCCUGUGGGGAUGUACAUGCAACCCCCCCACACACACACACAUGCACACGCACACACCAUUCUCUAUCACUCUACGUGUCUGCAGAAUCCAUAGGCAGCAGAAUCUGUCUCCUCUCUCUUCUUCCCUCCUCCUCCUCCCUGCUAAAGCCUGUUGUUGUCUUAUCCCCAGCCGGAAGCCCCUCUGUCACAGGGCCAGGUUCCUGGCCACUUGUUCUACUCCAGCUGCUGCUCCCGCAGGCUCCAGCCAACUCCUAUUUCCAUAGCAACUGAAACUCAUUUUUCCAUCCCUGCAGUUCCACUUUGGAAAGGAAACCCAUAACAGUCUCUUAAAAGAAAAAAAAAAAAAUUGAGCUACAUCUGGCAUAGUCAACUUGGACUAUACAGAAUUCCCAGCUUCCCCAACUCCCUGGUCCCCUAAAGACCCCUCCUUCCCUCCAUCAGCCUCCACCCCUCUCUGACUCCCCAGAGCUCCUGACUCAAAAACAAGACUGAGAAGUCUGUGUGGGUCCUUUCUCUCUUUAAAUCAAUGCAAGAUGACUUUGUGCUUUGGCAACCCAAGAAGAGGAAGAAGUUAGAGGCUGUAUUCCGUUGUAUCAGGUGAUGUUAACCCGCAUCAUCCGGGAUGCCUGUUUCUUCACCCUCCCCUUGGCCAGAGGGGUCGGACAUCGCCUGAAUAUGUCAUAUCAUCUCCGAAGAUGAGGUUCCCACUCUCCGACUCCCAGGGCGGCAUGACUCUAGGUUGUUUGAGCAAGAUGUGAUGACUGUACUCCCAGUGUGGUGAUUUGGCUGGCAUUAUGCCUAUGGAAGCCUACGAGUGUGAUGUGAAGGGGUCUCUCCCCUCUCCUACCCCCCAAAAGACUUCCCUUACUCACCUGGUGCAUAUUUGACACCCCAAAUUCCACCAUUAGCUGUGCAUAGCAUUGGGCUCACACUCUGUUUUCUAUUAAAAAUGUAAAGUGCAUGUUAAGUUGUGGUCCAUUUGGAUACUCCCACCCCUAGCACUGAACCUCGCACAUAGUAAGUGGUCAGUUAAUGUCUGUUGGAUUGAAGUACUGGUUUAGCAUACAGUGGUUCAAAGGCCAACUUUCCAACCUGACACUUGGCCAGAAGCAUGUCUGGAGCUGAACUGUGCAUGGGCACAUUCUGGCAAGAAGGUUUUUGUUUUUUUGUUUUUUAAUUAACCACUUUUCCUGCACCUUAUCCUCCACCACUGUCAAUAUGGAUAACUGAGAGUCACAUGCCAAGUGCAGGAAUCAGGUUUUAGAAUAGCAGUUUGUUCUUAUGGCUGCCCAGAAAACAAUGUGGGCUGGGCAAAUAAGGAGUGUUAUUAAAUACCUCCAAGGGGGAGACACUGUUUGUCUAAAUGUGGGUCUUUAUCUCUAAAACAUUGCUACCCCCACCCACUCCUGUUGCCCAUAUGAGCUGGGUUUUUUGAGUCACUGGUGAUGUGUUUUUGAACACAAUGUGGGGGAAGAGCCCCCAUGGGCUGUUCAGCUCUGGCUACGAAAAAUACAAGCUGCGUUUGACUGAAUGACAAAAAGAAAUCUGUUGAGCCAGGAAGCGUAGUAAAUACCGUGACUCUCUGCAAAUGUGCACAGCCCAAACAGCUUUUUCCAGUCUGGAAAAAUGAAGAGAUUUGUCUGUGUGAAACCAGCCAGCACUCUGCCCCUCCUCCCUUUCCACCACUCCACCCCCACCUCCUGGCCCUGCCUCCCACCCUGCCCCAGACAUUCAGUCAUCAGCUUGCAUCCUUUGUGACUUGCUUUGCCCCAGGAAAUAACAUUGCCCAGGCUCCGGGGAGAUACACCCGCCUCUCCCCAACGUCUUUGAGAGAUGUCUGUCUGGUCGGGUUUUGCCAGUCAUUUCUGACCUUGGCCAGCUAUGGCUCACAGUAGAAUUAUCCAGGGGGCAGUGUGUCUGGUGUGUCCUCUUCCUGUGCUUUCCCCUGUUUUGUCCUCCUCCUCUCAACCCACCCCCCCUGCUUUUCCUUUGAAAGAACCUUUACCCCAUCCCUACUCCUGUAGAACAGUGUUUAGAAGGAAGACUUGCCAAAGGUGAGGGUUUACUUUUUUUUAAUUUUUAUUUUUAUUUUUUUGAGAGACAGUGCACGCAAGUAGGGCAGGGGCAAAGGGACAGUGAGAGAGAAUCCCAAGCAGGCUCCAGGCUCAGCACUGAGCCCAACAUGGGGCUUGAUCUCACGACCGUGGGAUCAGGGCCUGAGCCGAAAUCAAGAGUCAGAGGCUCAACCGACUGAGCCACCCAGGCACCCCGAGGUGAGGGUUUUAAAGCAUUCUCUUUAGGCUAGUGCAGAGGGUGGAGGUGGAAUAGGAAAAUUUUCAGUGACUCAAAGACAACCAGAGCCUUGACAACCAUUGGUAGGUAAGGUUUCUAUAUGGGAGGGACUUCCAGAGAAAAUCUGGUCUGCACCUUGCCUUGAAGAUGCAUUUGCAUAGCAGCUAUGCUGUGUUUUCUUUGGUGGUAUGUUUGCAGGGGUGGGUGGAGGGUUGCUGACAAACACUGUGAGGCUGUGAAGACCCACCCACCGGAGCACUACCCCAGAGAACACAUAUCCAAUGGGCGGUUCAGUGUAUUGGAAAGGGCACUGGGAUUGGAAUCAGAGCAAUGGGUUUGAACCUUGGCUUCUAUGAGUAGGGAGUAUUUGUUAUUCACCAUGUCCACAGUGCCUAGCACAAGCCUGCCAACAGCAGGAGCUGUGUUAAUUUUGUGCAGUCAGUGAGUGAAUGAAGGAGCCAAUGACCUUGGAUACUUUUCCACUUUGAGCCUCAGUUUCCUCCUCCAUAAAAAAUAAUAUAAGGGGCACCUGGAUGGCUCCGUUGGCUGAGCAUCUGGACUCUCGAUUUCAGCUUAGGUCACGAUCUCAUGGUUUGUUUGUGAGAUCCAGCCCCACACUGGGCUCUGUGCUGUCAGCGCUGUGUCCCUCUCUCUCUGCCCCUCCCCUGCUCUCACUCUCCAUCUCUCUCAAAAUAAAUAAAAACUUUAAAAAAAUAAUAUAAAAAAUCUGACAUUCUACCUAGCCCACCAGGUGUGUGUGUGUGUGUGUGUGUGUGUGUGAGAGAGAGAGAGAGAGAGAGAGAGAGAGAGAGAGAGAGCAAAAGUAUGAACGUUCUUUGACCUCUGUAAGUUGGCAUUUCGAAGUGAGUUUGUCUCAGGUUCUGUGCUUUACCUUUAGUGUUUAUGUCCUUUAUCAGGAGGAAGGGCCGUACUCCAGAGUGUCCCCUGAACACUUCCUGUUCCAUCCUAUCAUCUGAGGACCUUAAGGACAGGAGGGCACUUUGGAUGUUUUCAGUGAAGUAGUUUAAAUCUGACAACAGUGACUUUUAAGGUUCUCAGCCUUGGCUUCUGGCCACUGCCAUAUCAGUCCCAUACUUGGGCCCAGAACUCCCAGGAACCUCUCCCUGGGAUGGCCUGUGCCUGAGCUCAAACAGCAGAUUUUCAUCAAGCGCUGGGGCUGGUGGGGGAGAGGGAAUCUGCCCCCAGAUCUUUGCCCAUGCUGGUUCCUCUGCCUGAAACACCCACCUUCCCUUUACCUGGUCCAGUACUCGACCUUCAGAUCUCAGCUUAGACCUCAUUUCUUCCAGAAUGUGGUCCUGGACUCCUCCCCUCUGCCUUUCAAGCUUGGCCUCCUCUGUGCCCUCUCCACGUCCACUUCCGCUGUCCAAGUGCUUGCCCGCUGACGUGCAGUCUCCCAUUCUCCUGUCUGCCUCCAUCUUAAACAGUGGGCCCCCGGAGGACUAGGACUGGGCCUUUCCUGUUCAUUGAUAUCAUCUCGGUGCCAGUCCCCCGAGAAGGUGCUCUGUAGACAUAUAAUGAUGAAAUGAACAGCCGUGGUGUGUCGGGGAGAUGGGAGACAGAGACUGAAGUCAGGAAGGUUCCCCUGGGAGGUAUUUCCUGAAGCACAGAAACACUUCUCUACCAAAAUGGCUUGCAUACAAACUAAGCAUGCACAUCCGCACACACCCAGAGGUGCAGGCACACACCCAGCUGCAGGCAGUCGCUUGUGCAGAGCACUUUCCCUUGCUCUGAACCGUCUCUUUGCCGUCCCCUCCCACCCAUCUGCCUCACUCCCUGGGUGGAGGGAAUUACGCGAAUAAAAGAAUCUAAGUGGCAGAGUAAAGGUGGUGCCAGGGAAAGAGAUUCGACGAUCAUACCUCAGCCUGUGACCUUCCUCGUCUCUCAGUGUUCUAGAUUACGUCCCAUUGUAAGGCAGUUCUACUUCUCUCUUUUAGGCACUAUUCGGGAAGACCCCCUAAGCUUUUAAAAACAGCUUAGCACGUGGUUCUCCCAGCUCUUUGGAAUCCUGCCAAAUACAUGUGUCUUUGACAAAUAGCUUCUAGGUCUAUGCCUCAGUUUCCCUCUUAUCUCUCCCACAGCGAUGAGGAACAGAAGCUACCCUUGAAGCGCAAUAUGUUUCUUGGGGGGUUGGGGGAAAGAGCUUCUUAAGUACCCAGAGUCACUGGUCAUGAUUUUGUCAAGUAUGAGAGAAAGGCAGGUGCUAUUUGAUUCUUCUACAGGCAGGUGAAUUUUAAGUUGUUUUCAAAGUCGACUCAAAGGCACCCCUGCGUGGCUCAGUCUGUUAAGCUUCUGACUUCAGCUCAGGUCAUGCCCUCUCAGGUCAUGAGCUCCGCGUCGGGCUCUGUGCGGACAGCUCGGAGCCUGGAGCCUGGAGCCUGCUUCCGAUUCUGUGUCUCUUUCUCUGCCCCUCCCCUGCUCGCGCUGUGUGUGUGUCUCUCUCUCAAAAAUCCAUCAACAUUUUUAAAGAAUUAAAAAAAAACAAAGUUGAUUCAAAUUGGUCAGAGGUGGAGGGAAUGGCUUGCCUUACCCAAAGAGAGGGUUCUGAACUGCCUCAUGAACUGGCCUUGGAGAGGAAGAGAAUUUCUGAAGUGGGUUAGAGGGCUGUUGGUAAGGACCCAAGUGGCAGCAGACGCAGCGUGAUAGGAUGACAAAAGUCGGACAGUGUUUCCUGAGCCCCGGGAAUGGCAAGCAGCCUCACCUCCUCAGUGCGCCCGCCCCACGCAGCAUCAUCUGACCUCCUCCCUGACCUUCCCUGCCACGCGGCACCUUUUGAGGACCUGCCCCCUAGGUCAGGGCUGCACACGGGGCGUUCAGGUGAGCCCUUAGAUUAUGUUUGGCCGAUACUGUCAGCCUUUGCAGUAUUUUUCCUUUCAGUCCAUUCUCAAGUUGGGAGACUUCGUGUAAAAUCCAGAUCUCCCCUUCCUGGGAAAAAUGGAAGAUCUGGCAGGACAGAGCUCACCUUCUUCCACAGCAGUAACCAGCCCGAGGUGAGUAGCUGCAGCCCCUUGUCAGAGAGGACUUGUCGUCUCCAGUCCCCACCUGCCACCAUCCUUUGCUCUUUAAGGCUGACCGGUGUCAGCUGCCUUUUAUGACCUCAGCCCCCAGGCCAGGCCAUUUGUGUUACCUGCUGGGUGGCUGCAGGUGCUAGUGGUCUGUGACCUCUGCCUGGGUGAGGACCUUCUGCCCCCCAGGCCCUAGAUGGUGCAUCGAACUGCCUCUCCCCCCUGGCCCCAGUCCAUGCUGAUGUGUACAGUUUCAGUGCUGAGGGUUGGGCUUUUGCUGCCUGCAAGGAGUAAGGUGCCAUUAUUGUGAGGAAAUAUAAGGCCACGGGCUAAGGAGCAGGCCAGGACCUGUCCCUCCCUCCGCAGAUAAUACACUCCCACUUGAGCAGUAACCUUCCGGGAAUCGUGCCCGCUCGUGACUUUUCUUUUUUCUAUUCUAUUAGUGACUUUCAGAAAGGACAUUUCAGCCAGCUAAAGGGAGCAGAUGGUCCUAUAUCAGGCCUCCUGCAGGCUGAGUACUGGGGGGGGAAUCAGGGCUUUCCUGUGAUUAGUUCUUGUACCUGGUAAGCUUUGAUCUCCCAGGCUAUUGAGGUGUGUUCUCCUAAGGAAGGAAUCAGGCCAUGCUUAACCUUGAUCACUGAAAUCACUGUUCUCCUUGCCCUUCUUUUAUAAACAAGGAAAUUGGAACAGAGCUAAGAGAGGCUUUUUCAUGCACUUUAGGAAAGAAUGAGCAAUGGAAAAAGGAAAUUGAGAGCUUUGGGGAGUUUAUAGGAGAGGAGCAUUUGAGUUUGAAAUAGGAGCUGGGAAUCCAUAUGUUCGGAGGAAAGGAAAGAAAAGAACAGCCACACGCACAGAGCUUCAAGGGUAAGUGCGGAAAUAGUUAUGGGAAAGGGGGCAGGGAAGCCCACGUGGGUCUCCCUUUAUCAGACCCAGAUGUUCAGGCAACAGUUCUCAGGAUGCCCAUGAAAGGGUCCAGAGCCUGCUGUGCUAGACUCAGUGUUUUCUUAACUGCCAAGCAGCACGUGAAAUCGGUGGCCAGGAGCUUUCCACUGCGCACUGCACAACUCCCUGAGGCCCUGUGGGGUCUGUGCCACACCAGUUACACACAGACUGGGCUACCUCUGGACCUGCAAGUGGACAGCCCUGCUUCACCUGGUUCCCCCCUGCCUGCCCACCCCCAUCGAGCAGGGGCUGCCCAACCUGCCUGGGUUGACCUGUGCCCCAGACUGACCUUGGAAGGCAGGACUUGGAAGGCUCGGGUCCACCUGCAUAAAUGACAGCCUCUCCAGCCUUUGUCUUACCAUCUUUAUUAUUAUUAUUAUUAUUAUUAUUAUUUUAACUUAUAUAUGCUGAGAGAGACAGAAACAGCAUGAGUAGGGGAGGGGCAGAGAGAGAGGGAGUCAGAGAAUCCCAAGCAGGCUGCUUCAUGGCCAGCGCAGAGCCCCGCACAGAGCUUGAACUCACGAAACUGUGAGAUCAUGACCUGAGCUGAAACCAAGAGUUGGAUGAUUAACCGACUGAGCCACCCAAGUACCCCAGUUUUACCAUUUUUAAAAUGGGGGUGGGGGGAAUCAUUUGUGAGGUGCAUACAAGAUAUGUGUAAAGGGCUCUGGAAAGAAUAAAACACAAAGCAUGUUUUUUAAGUUAUUCAUUAUACUUUUAAAAAUUACUAUGGAAAAUUUCAAACAUAUGUGCAAGUAGACAGAAUAAACCCUCAUACACCCAUAACCUAGCUUCAAUAAUGAUCAGCUCAUGGCUAAUCUUAGUUCAUCUAUGUCUCUAUCCACUUUCCCCAUCCCCAUGUUAUGCUGAAGCAAAUAUGGAAGAUGUUUGAGAGAUAUCUUCUUAUUUUAUCUCAUUAUCCAACAUAGAUGGCUGACUUGCUCCCUCAACCUGUUGAAACUUAUCCAAUCAUGAGAUGUCCCCUUUUUCCCCUUCCAGAGUGCCACAUCUAGCAUCCCAUCAUGCACUAAGUUCCUCUCAAAGCCACCAUUCCUACAAAACUCAUAUGACCGGUAGCAACACUGGUUGUAAGCCCCUGGAGGCCUAGGAUGUAUUUGUGUUUUGCCAGACUCCAGUAUCUUCAGAAAGAAAGAGCAGAAUUCUAAAAGGUGGAUACGAAAGCAUUGAUCCCUGGAAGUAGAAGAAGAUAUUGGACCAUUUUGAGCCCUCCCAGCCCUUGACAUCAAGUUUAAGCCCUACAGGAAUUGACUAAACUCCUCCUCCUAUUGGUGCUUUGCUUCCAGGGAAGGGGUGCACGGGGCAGAGAACACCAGUGAAUUAUGUCCUCCCCUCAACCACUGGCUGCAGGAGAAUCGAGGCUCUCCUCUCCCAGCAGAUGCCCUACUGCUGACUGAAGUAUAUGAUGCAGCUAUGAGUGUGUCGAGACGCAUUCCUUCUCAAAUCCUGGAGUGGGUAGAAUGCAGGCUCUAGAGACCAGGAGACCUGGUUCAAAUUCAAGAUGAAAUGAGAUAAUGCCAUAUCCAUUAGGGUUCUCUUGGUAACAAGGGACAGAAAAUCCAACCCAAGAUGGCUUUGAGAAAAAAGGGAAUGUGGGGGCUUACCUUAAACUGAAAAGUCCAGGUGUGGUAAUGGGGAUCUGCACCCAAUUUCCAACGUGUGUGUGUGUGUGGUCAGGGGCGUGGGCUUCCCCACAUCACCAAGGAAUUAUCUGAGACACCAGCUAGGCAUCCAGCAAUUCACCCACUUCUGACUGAUCAGCUGUAAAUUGGAGGUUCCCAUGCCCCUUUCCUUGGGUUUGAUGAAUUUGUUCAAGUGGCUCACAGAACUCAGAGAAACAGUUUAUUUACUAGAUUACAGGUUUAUUAUAAAAGGAUAUAACUCAGGAACAACCAGGUGGAAGUGACCCAUAGGGCAAGGUGUGGGGAAAGGGCACAGAGCCUUCAUGCUCUUUCCGAGCUCACCAGAUUUCCACAUGUUCACCAGUCUAGAAGCUGUCCAAACCCAGUCCUUUUGGGGUUUUGUGUAGCCUUCAUUACAUAGGCACAAUCGAUUAUAUCAUUGGCCGUUGGCGAUUGAUUCAGCCUUCAGCCUCCCACCCCUGUAACUUUCCUGGAGGUCAGUAGUUGGGACUGAAAGUUCCAACCCUCUGAUCACAAGAUUGGUUCUGCUGGCAACUAGCCUUUCCUCAGGUGCUUUCCAAAAGUCACUCAUUAACAUAACAAAAGACCCCUCCUCUCCGCUCUCCUUUUUUUCUGUCAUCUCAGGGAAUUCCAUAGGUGUUUUAGGAGCUGUAAGCCAGCAACUGGUGGCCAAAUACCAAAUAUAUACUUCUUAUUAUAAAUCACAAUAUCACAGGUGGACAUGGCUGGUGUUUGGGGUUCAACUGUUAAAAUCAGGACUUGGUUUCACUCUACUUCUUGGCUUCAGAUUUGUUUCAACUUUAGUUUUGGGUUAGUGGGGUAACAAGACAGCAGCAUCAGGCUUAGCCCCUGGACCCUUUUAGGAUUUCCACAGAGAAUCUCUUUUCCAAAAGUCCUAGCAAAAGUCUCAUGGACCUGGAUUGGGUCACAUAGCCAUCCCUGACCACAAUCAUUGUGGCCCAGGAGCAUGAGGCGCUCAUCUGCUUAGGGAGUGUCACUGGAUCUAUUAGGACAGAGAGGGUGGGGGAGGGGUGGUCCCCUGGAAUGAACUUGCAGAGGGGGUUGGGCGUAGUCACACCAAUGCGAAAUGCGGGUGGGUCAGUACUGGUGACAAAACUAAAGACCUUGAGUGCAUUAUGAAAGCUCAUAAAAUGAUAAUUCCCUUCUAUCUCAUGGAGACUUUUUUAUUCCUUUUCAAAUAAGUUCUACAUAUUUGAUCUCCUGUCAGUCCUGUGAGGUCGACAGGAGUACAAGUAGUAUCUUCCCACAUUACAGAUGAGGAAAUCAAAGCACAGAGCAGGUAAAGACUUUGCCCACAGUCACAAAGCAAGGUAGUACGGACUUGCCCUAGAAUCCCACAGAGACACAGAGGGCUCUGAAUUGCCUGCCAGAUCCAGUAGAACUGGCCACUGGGAUAUAUAGGGUCUGACAUGGAGUUUAUUUAUAUCAGCUGCCUGGGUUUUCCCCUGAGUUAGCCAGCUAGACUGGUAGCACUGUGGGUGGUCAAGUAUCCAUUGUCGGUGCCCUCCCAGGUGGCUAGGGAAAGAGCUGGUGCCCAGGCCAAGAUGCUACCACCCACCCCAGGGAAACCCUCUCACAAUUGAUUCCCUUUACACUGGGCAACUGUGUGCAAGACUUGGUUUUCCUCGUCCUGGCAAAAAAAAAAAAAAAAACGUGAGGUUGGGGAGGCACUGCUAGUGACAAGGGAAAUUGAUCCUCAAGCCAAGACGUGGAGGGAGAGCAGCAUCCCCUGGUCAGAGGGGAGUGGUUUGGCCAGAGUUGUCAGGGUCGUCCUAAGCGCUGUUGGGAUCUCCAGAGCCUUCCAAAAAACAGCACGCCUCUCCCGCAUCCAGGUUCCUAACACAACGAAUAAAAAGACAAAGGAAUGGCAGAGAGCCAAAGUACCGUCUUAAUUGUCACUAAAGCCAGCAUGGAGGAUGUAGCUUAGUGUGAGCACAAAAGUGACUUCCUAAGGGAGCCUAGAAGGAUGGAGAGAGCAGAUCUUCACGGACAGCCUUCCCAAGUUUUCCCCCCAUCAGGCAAGUCGUUCCAUUGCCGUGGACAGUGAGAGUAGAGAUAAAAAAGUUUUAGGGAGGGGCGCCUGGGUGGCGCAGUCGGUUAAGCGUCCGACUUCAGCCAGGUCACGAUCUCGCGGUCCGUGAGUUCGAGCCCCGCGUCGGGCUCUGGGCUGAUGGCUCAGAGCCUGGAGCCUGUUUCUGAUUCUGUGUCUCCCUCUCUCUCUGCCCCUCCCCCGUUCAUGCUGUGUCUCUCUCUGUCCCACAAAAAAUAAAUAAACGUUGAAAAAAAAAAAUUAAAAAAAAAAAAGUUUUAGGGAAAAUCCCUCCUCGUGGAAACCAGAAGCAGGGAAAGGCACGGGACUUUGGCAAGUUAUUAAUCUCUCCGGGCAUGGUUCUCUUCUUGGGUAAAAUGGGCAUAGUAACAGUAUCUCCCUCGCGGGGAGGCAGUGAGCGUUCAAAGCGGUAAUGUGUAUGACCGCCGUGGCGUGUGGAAAUCCCUCAGCGAAAGCUGGCUGUUUCUGUGUACAGGCCAGGUUCAUGGCAGGUGGCCUUGCUUGUCUCUCCAGCAUGAAGCCCAGGGCCCCUGGGCCCCACUGUGCUUGUGCAGCUCUCUCCAGCUGUAAAAAUUCACGCGAAUCUAGGUGAGCAGCGGCUUUUCAGUUCUUGGCUUCUUCCCAGGCUGUGUUCUCCCACUUGGGGGGGCAGAAGGGAUGGCAGACAUCCUCUUCACAGUGGUGAAUGCCACUGCCACCACCCCAUGCCCCGUUCCAGCAGAUCCUGGCUCAAAGUUCAAAGCCAAGGUGGCUUUGUUGAGUAAUUUGGUGACACCGCCUGCCCACCCGCCAUCUGAGGGUAAGUCUCCCUCCCACACACCCAUUUGCUAAGCAUCUGCUGCCCUGUGUUUUGUGGUGUGGAGGCUGGGAACAGGCAGGCCGCCCCAGCUGACCGCGGUGAGGCUGAGCUUCCUUCCCCCCCCCCCCCCCCCCCACCCCCUCCCCUGCUGCCCUUGGGCUCAGUCGCACACACUUCUCAGUCCCGCGAAGUGGGGUUUCAGAUCCGCUCCCAGGCUGGUUGGCGUUGACUGCAUCUGGAUUCACACCAACCUCUUCCUCCUGGGGGUUCAGAGUGUUCUUGGAAGGAAGCCUGGGAAGGGAAAGGCCUUCCCCAGCAUUCCCCAUGCCGCGGCUGGCUGACAGCAUAGACGGGAGCUGCCAAGAGCUGCAGAGGCAGACAGACCUGAGUUCAAAUCCCUGGGUGACCUUGGGCAGGCUGCUCUCUGCUUCAGUUUCCUCAUCUGUAAAAAAUGUGAUAGUAACAGGAUCUGUCUCACGAGAUUAUCGUCAGGAUUCAGUGAGAUACCGACUGUGGAGCAUUCACCCCACAUCUGGCACGCGGGACGUGCUCAAGAGAUCGUAACCCUUGACCAUCGGUGGGGUAUCCUCUGACUUCCUGUGGGGGUACUCACGGAGAGGAAGUGGGUGCCAUCUCCUUGGGCCCGCCCCACUUCCCACAUUCAACCCCUACCGUAGUUACUCCAGUGGGACCAAACAGAUUUGAUUUUAUGCAAAAGUCUCAUUUGUCCAGUAACUCCCAUGCCUGGUGUGGUGCCUGGCACCUAAACAGCACUAAAUGUUUGCAGUAGAAGAAACGGAAGAUAAAGGGCAAGGGAGUGUCUGGCAGGGAGCGUCUAUUCUCGGACUGCUUUCUGAGCCCUAGGCUGUUCUUCUUGCCCCUUACCCAUCCUUCCUUCCUCCUUCCUUCCUUCCUUCUCUUCUUCCUCCCUCUGUGCACCCUUCCUUCCUCCCUUCCUUCCUUCCUCCCUUCCUCCCUUCCUUCCUUCCUCCCUUCCUCCCUUCCUCCCUUCCUUCCUUCCUCCCUCCCUUCCUUCCUUCUUCUCUUCCUCCCUCCCUUCCUUCCUUCUUCUCUUCCUCCCUCCCUUCCUUCCUUCCUCUCUUCCUCCCUCCCUUCCUUCCUUCCUCUCUUCCUCCCUCCCUUCCUCUUUUCCUCCCUCCCUUCCUCUCUUCCUCCCUCCCUUCCUCCCUUCCUUCCUUCCUCCCUUCCUUCCUUCCUCCCUUCCUUCCUCUCUUCCUCCCUCCCUUCCUUCCUCCCUCCCUUCCUUCCUUCCUCCCUUCCUCCCUCCCUUCCUACCUUCCUCCCUCCCUUCCUUCCUUCCUUCUCAUCUUCCUCCCUCCCUCCCUCUCUCCCUCCUGACCUCCCUUCUUCAGACCUUUCUUUUUUCUCAGAAGGAACUAGCUUCCUUCUUUCCUUUCUUUUUGUAAUAUCCAGGCUGCGAGAGCGUCCCUUGAGAGCCCUUCACCCAGCAGAGAGCUGUGAUUCCUCUUUCAAAUUGAGUCUGUCCCCUGACUCAUUCAUUAAAAUGCAAAGGGCAUGUGACCAAACUGCAUAAUGAGUCUCUCAUGAGGAAGGCUCCGAGGGAAGAGGCCGGCAGAUGCUGCCAACUGCAAGGCAAACGUUACCCCCCCCCCCCCCCCCCCCCAGCCGAGGAUCAGGCUCAUUGGCCGCCAUGCCCUGGGAAGGCUGGGGGCUGCCGUUCAUCUCCAGUAAAUCAGCCAAGCCCUGGAGAGCUGCAGCCUGGCGCGGGCUGUGCAGUCUUGGAAGCUGUGUUGCUUUGGAGAGUCCAGCCCAUGACCUUUUCUCAACCUUCCCCCACUCUUGCUGUUUUACUCUUCCAUUUAUUUCAAUAUAUUUUUUUAACUACCCGAGUAAUACGUGAAUAUGUUCUAAUCAUAAAAAAUUCAAACAUACAAGCAAGCCCCCUUUAACAACUCCUCGAUCCCGCUACCCCUCUCCAAGACAGCCUUCCCGUCGUGCCCCUCUUUGCCUUCCAAGGUUUUGGCUGCUCCGUCACAACCACCCCAGGAAGGCGACGUGGGGGCCCAAACACCCUUUCGCCCUCCUGAGGUCCUAAGCCAGUUCUCUACAAAGCUGUCAACAUGCAUCUCGGACACCUUAUCAGCCUGCUUCGUGGCCAAGUCCCCUGUCUGCCAUGUCACUGCCACUCACCCAGGGACCCCGCUGAAUCCCAUCCCUGCAGAAGAGCCUUACUGUCUGCACCACAGAAGCCAGAUUAUUCCCUGAUUCGAAAGUUAGGUUUAACUGCUUUCCAGAGGCAUCUGCAAUUUCACAUUGGAGUCCAGAAGAGUGAAAAAGGUGGCAAAAUCCAGUGAUCCUCAUGGCCGCCUCUCAGGCGCUAAGACCUCUUGAGCUCCACUUUUGGGUGGUGAGCCUCUCUGAACCCACCAAUUCAUUUCCCUUGGGUAACAGCCUAUCCCACUGUGGCCUUGGGAAAAUCACUAACUUCCCUGAAUCACGUUAACUCCCCUGCAGAAUGGAAAUAACGCUAGUACCUCCUUCAUUGGGUUGUGAAGUUUAAAUGGAAUUAUCUAUAUGAAGCCGUCAGUAGGACGCCUAGUGGCUCAGUCAGUUAAGCAGCUGACUCUUCAUUUCAGCUCAAGUCAUGAUCUCACGGUUUGUGAGUUUGAGCCCCGUGUUGGGCUCUGCACUGAGGGGACAGAACCUGCUUGGGAUUCUCUCUCUCUCUCUCUCUCUCUCUCUCUCAAAAAUAAAUAAAUAAACUUAAAGAAGUCUUCAGUAUUUUGCCUGUCACAUGGUCAAAGAUGCAGUUAAUGUUAGUAAUCGUCAUGACUAUCAUGAUUUUUACUCUGAUCUGUAAUACUCCCAAUUCAUUCAUUCAAGUAUUUUUACUGAGUACCUACUAUGUGCCAGGCACUGUUCUUGAUCCUGGGAGUAUAGCAGUGAAUGAUUCUGACACAUUUCUGGCCCUCAGUGGGUUUAUUCUAGCACAAAUGUAUUGCACCCUUCUGUUUGAUAAGCACUUUGCCUCCUAUUAUGUCACGUGGUCCUAACUAAUGUCUUCAAGUCCGGCAAAGGCAAUAUGAGUGUCCCCAGUGUACAAAUAGAAAGCCACAGGAGAAUUAAGCUAAUGGAACAGCUAGAAACUGAACCAGCUACGACCUGAUUGGGGGUCUUUCUGACUCCAGUUUCUGUGCUCUCUUGCAGUGGGCACUGAUGAUUAUUCUCGGGUGCAGAAAUAGGGGGCAUGAAAGCAGUUCCCCAAGCCCUGACUCCACCAGGAGAAGCACAGAAAAGAGGUGGAACUACCCUUUGUGUGCCUCUGAGAGCCCUGGUUGGUUCUGUCCACGAGGUGAAUCAGUCAACUGGCCUAACCAAGUAUCCCUCUGCCUGGUGCUAGUCUCAGAGGCCUGGAGGAGAUUUUUUUUUUUUUUUUUCCCCCAAUGAACAAGCACUUCAGCCUGUAGCCUAUGGGGCCUGGCUGUGACAGCUGGCUCCUCAGAGGUCUGAGAGCACUUCCCCCUGGGGUUCUUACGGCAGGAGAGGAUGGCUCGGACUGUGGGUUCAGUGACCAAAAUGCAUCUUCCUGGGGAGGCACCCGGAACUCCUAGCUGUAACAGGGUUCUCUAUGCGUACCCAGUGUCCUCCCCGGUCAGAGCUGGGCAGAGCAGAACUGGCCCUGUCUGAGAACACCAUGCAGAGGAACUGGAAGUCUGUCUUGGGGAACGUGGCAGGGGUAGGCCUGGCAAAGAUCCCAGGGAGAGGGCACUGUGGGCCGGCCACUGUACAGAGAGACCCAUGACCUAAAUAGGGCUCAGCCAGGGCAUUUCCCUGACCCCAUCAUGGUGACAGCUCACCCCUCCCCUCUGACCACACCUGUGGUCUAUAGUACUAUAGACCUGUAUAGACUAUACACAAUAUUUAGUACUAUAGUACUAAACCUGUACAGCAACAUGUGACUGAUGAAGGGGUCCCUACCUCCAAGGUCACCUCUGCCUACUCCUCAUGGGAACACACACACCCCUGCCCUUCUUUAGAGGUAAAUCCCCUUUACCUGCCUUCUCUCUGGACAUGCCUACACCCUUCUGAAGUAUACUCUGUAUCUGUCCCAUGACUAGAUUUCUGUUCUCUUUCUUAAUUGAAUCUACGCACACAGGAUUAGUCAUGCUCUGAUAGAUGACAUUCUUUCAUCUUACGCUGGACCUUGCACAAGGUUAUUUAUUAUUUAUCUAUGUUUCCUUAUUUGUUUACAGUAUAGUAAACACCAUGAACCCACCACCCGUUCUUCCACUGUGUUCCUGACCUUCCCUUCACUCUGCCUCCCUCACCACAUCCUGAAUCUUGAGUUUACCAUUCCUUUGCUUUUCUAAGAAGUAUUCUUAUUUAUUAUAUUUUUCUAAAAGGUGUAUUGUGUGGAUUUCAUGUUUUUACCUUAAGAGAAUAUCCUGUUCUAUAUAGCUUUCUGGAAUAUACUUUUUUCUCAUGAUAUUAUAUUGCUAAAAGUCACCCAUACUGUAUCAUAGAGCCAUGGUCCAUUUGUUUUCACUAUUAUAAUCAUCUCUGUUAUGUUCCACAUGUGUCUAUUUAUUCUCCUGUCCCUGGACGUUUGAGUUGUUACCAGCUUUCCUCUACUUUGAAUGUAUAGAGCUGAACAUUCUUGUACAUGUCUCUUGGAAAACAAUGUGAAUGUAGCAAUUUAUAAUCCCACCAACAAGUAUAUAAAGAUCCUAUUGGUCCAUGUCCUCUCUAACACUUGGCAUUAUCAGACUUUAUAAUGUUUUCCAUCUGAAAGGUUACUAAGUGGUAUCUCAUUGUGGUCUAUUCAUUUUUAUUGGCUAUCCAAAUAUGGUUUACAAUGAUCAAUGGUGAGGUGCGGAUCAUCCCACAAGGGAUCCAUGAGGAUUUCAUGAAGCACACAGUAUGCUUGCAAAGCCUCUCCCAAUUAGGAUCAUGCCAUUGUCUUGUCCAGCUCUGGGUCCCUGGUAGCCAGCAGAAGGCUGGGUACCUCAUCAUUACCAUCAUUAUCAUCAUCAAAACAACAACAAAAAUAGUAGGUCACACUUACUGUGUGCUUACUAAGUGCCAGGUGCUAUGCUAAAAAAUACCUUUCUUUACUUUUAUUAUCUCAUGUAAUUGUUCUGGAAACCCUAGAAGGUAGAUUCUGUACUACUCCCAUAUGAAGACGAGAGACUAAUAUUAAGCAUCUUUCCUAGAGUCACACAAGUGGUAAAUGGUGGAGCCAGGAUCCAAACCUUGGCAUUGGACACCUGAGCCCUUAGCUCCUCUGUUACAGGUGUCCAAUAAAUACUUGAACGAGGCACCUUUACUUGCCCAUAGCCAGAGGCAGGGUCAGAUGCCAUAGCACAUUUUAAUUUCCUGUCAACUAUAUUUAAAAUGCAACCACAUUUUGGUUAUAAACAAAGCUUAAUGUUUAUAAUUUUACUCCAGUCGAAGGUAACUCAUUUAGUUUAUGAUUGGUUAAAAUUUCUUGGUAAUCAUUACCCAGAUGGAGAACUCUCACUGUGAGAGAGAUCUAAGGUACAAAUUAUUCUCAAAUAUCAUGGGAUGCUAUGAAUUCCUCCUUUCCCAACAAUUCCCCUGAAAUUGUUGCUCUGUUUUUUCUCUCUUUUUUUUUUUUUUUUUCAACGUUUAUUUAUUUUUGGGACAGAGAGAGACAGAGCAUGAACGGGGGAGGGGGAGGGGCAGAGAGAGAGAGGGAGACACAGAAUCGGAAACAGGCUCCAGGCUCCGAGCCAUCAGCCCAGAGCCUGAUGCGGGGCUCGAACUCACGGACCGCGAGAUCGUGACCUGGCUGAAGUCGGACGCUUAACCGACUGCGCCACCCAGGUGCCCCUGUUUUUUCUCUUAUCAAUCACGCUUAUUAUCUCUAACAUACCAUAUAAUUUGCUUAUUAUUGUGUCUUACUAUUGACACCCAGGGCAGGAAUAUUUGUCCACUUAGUUCUGUCUGUAUCCUUAAUUGACUUAGCACUUGUGUAUCCCUUGUGCCUAAAAUUGUGCCUGGCACAAAGAAGCAGUUCAACAAAUAUUUGCUGAAUGAAUGGAAUAAAUGUAUGCUUCCAGGAAUGGAUGAAUGAAUGGAUGGAUGGAUGGAUGGAUGGAUGGAUGGAUGGAUGAAUGAACCAAUGCAUACUAAAUUGAACAGUUAAUGAAGAUUGACUCUGUGAUUUUGUUUUGUGGUUUUAUCUUUUCAUUUUGGAGCCAAUAAUUUUUUUCAGGCUUCAGGUUUCAAACAUUUCUGUGAUCCUAGGAGGCCUGAGAUUUCAUGCCUGUGUACCUAAAGGAUAAAAAGAUCCUGAGAUCCGAAACAAUGUCUCAUUGCCUUUUCCUUUAUCUCUUAGAAACCAACAUCAACAACGAGCAGCCUGCCUCAAAUGAGACUAUUUGGCAAUGAGGCAGGAGGCUCUUAAAAAGAAAACAAGGCAAAACAAAACAAAAAAUUCCUGUUGGCUUUAAUAUAGCAAUUUCUCUAGCAAUGUACAUGGAUGCUCAGGUCCAGAGCAUCUGACAUAUGUGUAACGGGUCCGAACCCCUGGCUGUUAUUCUUAUUUCCAAACUGGGGUGCACUAGAUAAAUGCAGGAAUCAGGAACCAUCCCUCCUAGUCAAGCGUCUGUGGCUCGGUUCCCAGAGCCGGGCCAAACGGGUAAUUAUAGCUUCCCUCUGUGGUGUACAGGGCAGGAGGCUGAUUUAGUAAAGGAAGCCUGCUGUCUGUCUCCAGCCUGGCUCUGACUCAUGGAACCAGGGAGUCCCAGAAGCGCUGCCCACAGAGGGUGGUGAGCAGCUGGGGGGUGGGAGGUGAGGGUGGCCAGCUAGCAAGGCUGAAAGCCCCGAGAAGGAGGAAACUCCCUGCUUGGCCUGGAAGAACCUGCAGCUGGAGCCAGAGGAAGUGAGGCUCAGACAGAGCAGCUGCUGUUCCAGCAACCGCUCAGCCGCUGCUGUGCCCUGGGAAGGAGGCCCCUGCCGUGCAGAGAUGUAAAAUAAAAUGGGUUCGUAAUUCUCAUAUUCAAAAUUAAUUGGGGGGAAAACCCGAAUUGCCUCUGACUAGAGACGGCUGCCUUUUGUUCCAUACACCAGCGGCUUUGGUUUCUUUUAGGGGGGCUGGGCCUUUGGAGUCUGGAGUGAUGAGCAUUCUGUUCAUUUGAUUUCCCUCUUUGGCAGCCGAGGCAGCUAAUUGGGGCUUUACAAGCCACAGAGGCAGAUUGACCUGGGAGAGGCUUCAGCUACACGGAGGGUAACAGGCCACUCCGGCGUGCACGUAGAUGCCACCUUAGAUAGGUCACCAGAGGUCAUUUACCCUUCCUUCUGUCUCCAGCAGCUUCUUCCUCCUCCCCUGACAGGCAGCCAGACUUGACAGGCAGCCAGACAGAGACAAUUUGACCUCCUCCUGCAGGCCUCUGGGCCAGGAGAUUCCGGGUCCCACCCCUUUCCUUCCCGCUGAGUCACCCACCUCCCAGUCAGGUGAUCCUCCCCUGGGCCCUUCUGAGAGCACCUUGACCUAUAUUGCAAACACUCCAUUACAGCAGAUUCUAAUUGUCCCACGAGAGGGCCCGCCAGGCCAGCGGGCACGGGGCCCGAGUUUCGCUGGGGGCAGCCCCAGGCUGCAGACGAGGCCCCCGUGGGCAGUGGGAGGAGGCACUCCCACUCUGUGAACAAGAACAACACCAGACAGGCCUGAAAAUGGAAAGUUGGGAGGUUGGAGGCUGUGUGCAGAGCAGGGGCAAAUGGGGUGGUGAUCUGGGCCAGGCCCUGACUGAGCAGACUGCUGGGGACCAGUGGUGAGGGACAGAUGCAGUCCCCCUCCGGGGCUGGGGGAUGUUGCGCCUAGGGAAAGGGGAGAGGUGAGAAACCAUGCAAAUCGAGGCAUAAACCUAGAUGACUCAUCCAGAUCGUCCCAGCCGAGAAAAAGCUCCCCCAGACAGGGAGCGAGUUCUUGCCCCAAAAUUAGCCACAAAGUGGCCUCUACUGAUGUUGUCUAUGGGUUCUUUGUGCCGUGGUUGCCUGGGCAGUCUUUGUGUCCUUUGGAUGUGAGGGUAAUGGGGAGGGAGUGGGGGAGCUGUAGGAAAGGAAUUAAAAGGGAAGUGUUCAGAGUCAAACAUUAAGCCUCAUCCUUGGGCAUCAAGCCUGUACAAAGCGGUAUUAACUGAAGAUUGCAGUUCUGUGGAAUUAGAAUGGGCGCUGAACUUGGAGCCUUUCUUCAAAGCCUGACCUUCUCGAUUCGUAGCCCUGUGACCUUGGCAAGGCACUCUAGGCCUCAGUCUUCAAUCUGUCUUAUGGGGGUUUUGAUAAAACCGCAUUAGAUCAGAUGGUUAUGAGCAUUCGCUCAGAUGAUGUGUGUAAACAAAUUAUAUCAAUUAUAUGUAAUUGUGCGUAGCUAUGUGAUAUUCUUUUCUCUAGAUUGUUAAGCCCCUUCCCACUCCCAUCUGAGAGGAUUAUUUUAUUUGUUGACUGUCCCAAACAUAAAAGAGUCUGCUUCUGGGUAUGUUUACAAAUGUAAAUAGCAAACCCUAGCCUGAGUGUAACAGCCCCACAUAGCGUGUUUACGCCUCACCCACAGGUUGGUUAUACAUGGUUUUAUUCUUUUAUAUCAAGAAAAGCUAUGCAUCUGUACAGUGGAGUAAAGUCCUAUUUUUAAACCAGACUGUAAACAUAUAAAGUUACUGCCUGGUGCACAGUGGAUGCUAGAUAUCAGGGUAGGUGCCAAUGAGAUGGAUGGAAGGAAAGAGGGGCAGAAAGGGGGAAGGGGUAGAAGGAGGAAAGAAGUUAGAGAAAGGUAUAGGAGGAGAGCUGGAUUUACCAAGACGCUAAUUAUGCUUGAACUUCAGGACGCUUCACUUACAUGUGUCCCUUCCAAGGCCUGGUACCUAAUUUUUAAUUCAUGUAUUCCUUUCCUAAAGAGAGCCCUUUGUACUGUAUUCUCUUCAGGCGCCACCAAACCUGGAUCUGCCCCUUUACAGAAGGUCUCUGAGAGACCCACCCCUUGUUCAUGUUUAAGAUUCAUAAGCACAAAAGAGGGGCGCCUAGGGGCUCAGUCGGUGAAGCAUCUGACUUCGGCUCAGGGCAUGAUCUCACAGUUCAUGGGUUCGAGCCCUGCAUCAGGUUCUGUGCUGACAGCUUGGAGCCUGGAGCCUGCCUUGGAUUCUGUGUCUCCGUCUCUCUCUGCCCCACCCCCUCGCACUCUGUCUCUCUUGCUCUCAAAAAUAAAUAAAUAGAAACAAAAUGAAAAAAAGAAAGAUUCAUAACACAAAAGAAACACAGGUGGUGUAGGGGAUGUGCACCUUCAGGUUGUCUUCACCAUGAACCCCAAAUUCCAAAUCUGGAAUUUGCAGGACGAUCCCCAUAUAGCCAGGCAAGAGGAACACCAUAAGGAAUGACAUGGAGGAAGAGGGUGGAGGUCAGGACUGGGCAGAAUUAUAGGACCAAUUCCAACUUCCAGAAUCUACUCUGGUGCUUCCUGGACUCCUCAGUUCCCAGGCCUUGAAUCUCGUUGCACAGCAUGGGGCAGUGCAGAAAUGGUGGCUUGCAAUCUGGAAUUCUCUCCCCAGUCCUGACUAGUCUUCCCUAGCCCUCCUCACUAACCAGCUGAAUCUCUCUGGGCCUAAAUCUCUGUACGUUUAAGAUUGUGGCAGGUGAGGGGCGCCUGGGUCGCUCAGUCAGUCAAGCGUCCGACUUAGGCUCAGGUCAUGCUCUCACCAUCCGUGAGUUCAAGCCCCACAUCAGGCCCCAUGCUGACGGCUCAGAGCCUAGAGCCUGCCUCAGAUUCUGUGUUUCCCUCUCUCUCUGACCCUCCCCUGCUCAUGCUCUGUCUCCCUCUGCCUCAAAAAUAAACAAACAUUAAAAAAAAUUUUUUUUUAAAUAUUGUGGUAGGUGAUUUCAGAGCACCUCACUUAAACUGCCUUGUCCACCACUGUAUUCCCAUGAGUACAGUGUCUAAUAAUUGUUGUUUUAUAUUAAUGGCAAGAAUUUACAUAGUGCUUAUAGAUGGGAAACCUGAAGUGCCAAGCUGUUGCCUAUGCUGCCCCAGGUCAGCUGACUAGUAAGUGUCAGAGCUGUGAUUCAAACCCAAGCAGUCUGGCCCCAUAGUCCCCCAUUCCCAAUCACUCUACUGUAUGCUCAAUAAAUAACUAAUAGACUUUACUUUUUAGAAAGGUUUUAGAUUUAGAGAAAAAUUGAGGAGAUAAACACAGUUUGAUGAAUGAAGUCAGUCAAUGAAUGGAGUCCCUUGAUUGAGACCAUGAUUCAUCACCCAGAGGACAUAGGUAGGUACAUGCCCAGCAUUUCGUACAGGUUGCUCACUUCAUUUUCAUUGUUAAGUAGGUAGCAUUCACCCUAUUUUGCCAUGAAAACACUAAGGCCCAGAGAGGUUCAGUGGCUUGCACUAGGUCACACAGCAGAUGAAGGGUUAGGACUAGAACAUUCUGAUAUGUCUGACCCUAAAGACCACAUUUGCCCCUGUGAAAACUUCAUAAUCAUCAUCAAAAGAUAUUUUGUCUUAUAUUUAUUAACCUAACACUCGUUUCUAGUGCCUUGCAGUUUUAAAAAUACUUUGUAUCCUUUUUUUUUGGGGGGGGGUUGCUUUUGGUCUACUGCCUAGGAAGGUAGGUGAGGCAGUGAUCACGAUUCCGUUUUAUGAAGGAAACUAUAAGGUCAUAUGAUAAGUGUUGAGGUAGGAUCAGGAAUGAAACAUAAAUAUAUUGACUCUUAAUCCAUGGUCCUUCCUUCUCACUCAAGCUUUCCUCCAUUAUAAAGCACUUCAUUAUACAUCAACUCAUGCUAAGCCCUCACAGAGGAAAUACCUUCCUUGUUAGAUAUGAGCCCUCAAGGGGUUGCCCCUCUUCCCAGGGGUCUGUCAAGAGAGUUUUUCCAAACUCUAACCUUUGACUGCAUGUAAGUCCUUUUGUACAAGUUUGGCAUUUUACCUGAUCUGUUGCCAAAGCAUGGAAGUAAUGGGUUGACUGUGACAUUUUCUUUUUUUCCCCCAUGUAUUUAACCAACACAAGGGAGAGUUGGCCAUUUUCAGUUAAAAAGGCUGUGUCUUUUCUUUUUUUAAUUACUAAAUGUUUUUAUUUAUUUUUGAGAGAGAGAGAACGCACACUCAAGCUGGGGAGAGUCAGAGGGAGAGGGAUAGCAGAGAGCCCGACGUGGGGCUUGAACUCACGAACCACGAGACCAUGACCUGAGCCAAAGUUGGACGCUUAAUUGAGUGAGGCACCCGGGUGCACCAGGUUGUGUUUGAUUCUGAUGAUAGUCAGAGGCUGCAUUGCCAAUGUUGGAAGCCCACUUCAUGAUGGCAGCAAAGAAAGGAUUUCCACUCUGCCCUUGACUCUCAGGCCAAUGUAACUAUACCUCUGAAGCAAGCAAAUUAUCUUUGGCACUUCCCAUUACUUGACAGCCUCUACCCAGAGCCACCCAACUUAUUACCCCAGAGCAGAGGGUCAUGGUGGUUUAUUUAUUUAUUUAUUUAUUUAUUUAUUUAUUUAUUUGUUUUUGUCUGGGGCCCGGGGGGGGGGGGGGGGGGGGGGGGGGGGGGGGGGGGGUUUUUUUUUUUUUUUUUGGGGAGGGAGGGUGCGGGGGUUGGUUUUGUUUGUUUGUUUUGGGUUUUUUUUUUUUUUGUAAUUUUAUUUUGAAAAACUUUCAAACCUACAGAAAUGGUACAGGAAUGUUACAAUGAGCUCUCUUUUCUAUAGCCCCUAGAUUAAGCAGAGCUUAAUUUUUAAAAUCUCAUUAAUGAAAUUUUCUUUUAAAAUACUGAUUUUAUCGCUUUUGAGAAGGAAUUACAUUUGUUUGACUCAAAAUUCCAAAGGAUUAUACAGUGAGGAAUCUUCCCUAAACCUUGUUCCCCAUUACCCAGGGCCUUUUUCUACAAGAAGCCAAUGCUUCAGUUUCUUAUGUACCUGUCCAAAGAGAUGUCAUAUGUACACAAGGAAAUAUGGUUGUGGGGCACCUGGCUGGCUCAGGCCAUAGAGCAUGCAACUCUUGGUCUCAGGGUCGUGAGUUCAAGCCCCACAUAGGGUGUGGCGCCUACUUAAAAAAUUUUUUUUUAAUUUAAAGAAAAUAUAGUUGUAUGUAUGUAUUCUUGUUUUGCCUUUCCACACCCCACCCACCCCAUACUUUAUUAUUCUACACCUUGGAUUUCUCAUUUGAAAUAACUCUAAUUCAGAUCAGAAACAGUGUUCUCAUUUAAAAAAAAAAUUUUAUUGUGUUCCAUUGUGUGGGUGUUCCCUUAAUUUGGUUAACCAGGCCUGGCCUCCAAGCUGGCCACUGAGGUUGUUUUCAAACAUUUGUUAUUGCUGCCCAGUAGUACACCGAAUGACCUUUGUUAUUCUUGAGAAUAGUUUGCAACUUUGAGUAAAGACCAGAAUUGAAAUGCUAUGAGAUUAUGUCUGGGGAGUUUCAUCAGUUCAGGUGCUUAGAAGGUAGAUCACUUCCUCAUCUCUGUGCUAUACUCCUUUGAUCUGGGGGACUGGAAACCCAAUCUUACAUGCCCUGGACCCAAACAUCUUCACUGGUGAUACCUCUGGUCACAAAGGUGAUAAAAACUUUUCUCAAUAGGUUAUUUUCUGGUGCUGAAAUGGCCUGUUUCUCACUGUUCUCCUGAGCCCACUUUUGGCCAGCACAUCGGCCUGUUAGUUCAGUCCAGGUAGCACAUACACUUUGCCACUGUCAAUCGAACCUGGUCCGGGAUCCAUCAGUCCAUUUGCGUUCUGACCUUGGUGCUGGGUUAGAACACUUGAACGAGAAGUUCAGGUUUCAUAAUGUUUGCAUUUGGGAAAUAAACCCACGUUUCCCACGUGUGCUGUUUGAGGAAUCCCAAGAAGCAUAGCAAAACGGUAUAAACACCAACCAAAAAACACAAUGCGGGGCUCUUUCUCCAAGGACAGCAAGAAGGCGGGGCUGCAGAGUUAAGUAGCCAGGAACAUUUUCUGCUUCCUUUUCAAAUGACGUCUUAUUGCACGUAUUCACUAGGACAUGUUUCAGAUAAAGGACUGAACUCCAUCAUUGUUAGCUCAGAGGAAAAGAAGAAAGUCUCAGAAUCUAGUUAAAGAUGCACCUGCUUUACUAUAUACACACACCACCACCACCCCACACCCUACACCUUACAUAUGGUGUGGCUAUAUUGUAGCAUUUUGGGGGGGGAAGGGGGGAAGGUCAUCUCAUUCAGUGUCCUGCUUCCCAGAUGGGCCGCUCGACAUCUGUUCUAGAUUUUUUUUUUUAAGAAUGUAUUUCACAUUUAAAAAUAUUGAGGAAAAGAAAUAUAUAUGUCUGUUCCAAAAUAUAUGUACAUAAAGGAAAGGCAGCAUCACAACUUUUGAGAUAGAUCCCUUCCAGCUUUUAAAUCUGUAGUCAGUCUCAUCAUUAAGAAAUGCUACUUCUGGGGCGCCUGGGUGGCGCAGUCGGUUAAGCGUCCGACUUCAGCCAGGUCACGAUCUCGCGCUCCGUGAGUUCGAGCCCCGCGUCAGGCUCUGGGCUGAUGGCUCAGAGCCUGGAGCCUGUUUCCGAUUCUGUGUUUCCCUCUCUCUCUGCCCCUCCCCCGUUCAUGCUCUGUCUCUCUCUGUCCCAAAAAUAAAUAAACGUUGAAAAAAAAAAUUUUUUUUAAAUAAAAAAAAUAAAAAAAAAAAAGAAAUGCUACUUCGUGUCCAUUAACUGUUGAAGUAAUUGUCACCCUGGGGGCUUGGGCCCAACAGAUUCACUUAUUUAACAGACCUUCAGUGAGCAUCUGCUAUGGACCAGGCAUGGCCACAGCACGGAAGAUGUAGGGGACAGACAGAAAUCCUUAUCCCAUGGAGCUUAUGUUUUAGUGAAGGUAGAGGAAAAAAGUAAGUAAAACAUAGUAAGCCUAUCAUAUUGUGCUAUGUGAUAUGGAGGAGAAUAAAGCAGGGAAUGAAUGCACUAGGGAGUGUGGCGUAGAGGAAAGAAGGUAACAAUUUUUAUUUUAUUUAAUUUUAAUUUUUUUUUUUUUUUUUUGAGGGAGAGAGUGUGAACUAAGGAGAGGCAGAGGGAGAGGGAGAGACAGAAUCCCAAGCAGGCUCCACACUCAAUGCUCGAUCUCACAAACCAUGAGAUCGUGACCUGAGCUGAAAUCAAGAAUCGGAUGCUUAACUGACUGACCCACCCAGGCGCCCCUGGAGGGUCACAAUUUUAGUUUAAGGUGGUUAGGGAAAGCCUCAUGGAGAAAGUACCAUUUGAACAAAGUCCUGGAGGAGGGGAAUGAGAUAGUGGUGGCCCUUUGGGUAAAGUAAAUAAACCUUUUGGCAGUGAUUUCAGGGUAAGGCCUUUUACAUCUCCAGAUGUUCUUUUCACCUACUAAUCACAAUCCCUAGAAUUCUUUUAUUGGUCAUACGUACUUUUAUGUUAAAAUGCUGAAAUAAGGGGCGCCUGGGUGGCUCAGUCGGUUGAAUGUCCGACCUCAGCUCAGGUCACGAUCUCGCGGUCCGUGAGUUCGAGCCCCGCGUCAGGCUCUGGGCUGAUGGCUCGGAGCCUGGAGCCUGUUUCCGAUUCUGUGUCUCCCUCUCUCUCUGCCCCUCCCCCGUUCAUGCUCUGUCUCUCUCUGUCUCAAAAAUAAAUAAAACGUUAAAAAAAAAUUUAAAAAAAAUGCUAAAAUAAAAAUACACAGUUAUCAACUAUUGAAAGCUCCCUGUGAAUUUGUUUAUCCGAUGCUUUUAUAAAUUCUAGGGAGGAAAGAGAGUAAGAUGGUAGGACAAGAGGAGGUGUGUGUGGAGGUAACAGAUGUGGGGAAAUAGAAAGGAAGAGCCUGCUGGGAGAGUCUGGAUUGCCAGGCUGGAGGCCAGGAUUGAGCCAGCUCCUUCUCACCAUAGUGCUGAGUGAGGUGCCCUGGGAUGCAGGAACAGGCCAGUUUGGCUCAGGUCACGAUCUCACGGUUCGUGUGUUUGAGCCCCACAUCUGGCUGUGUGCUGAUAGCUUAGAGCCUGGGGCCUGCUUCAAAUUCCAUGUCUCCCUCUCCCUCCCUCCCUCUCUCUCUGUCCCUCCCCUGUUCACACUCUGUCACUGUCUCUCACUCUCUGCCCCCCCCCCCCAAAUAAACAUUUAAAAAAAAAAUACUGCAUCUCCUGAGGAGCUUGGAGUGUUUGGGGUUGUGCUAUAGAUAGAUGUAACUCGGGACACACAGGAAAGCAGUGCAGGGACUUGUAACACUAUUAGUCUCUUGGUUAAUUUAACAGGCCUCAGGAAAUAAAUGAGUCAGGAAAGCUGUGAAAGUUUCCUCUUUAAUCGGUGCUGGAAAGCAGCAUUAUUUAUGAUGACAUCCGCCUCAUCUUUUGAAAUUAGAUGGCCCCCUGUAUCUUCAUUUUAGGUUCACCGUGGUUCCUAAAAGGUCAAUUCUCAAAAAUGCUUCUGUAGACAUAAGCUUUAGACCCUGGGUCACAAACUCAGAUGCCUAUACAGAGCAGACACCGGUGGCCACAAGUAGGUAUGGACCAGCGGGGGACUAGGACAAGUGGGAGAAGGCAUGCCUCCCUCUGCUGAGCUCGUGGGGUUGUUACCAAUGGAGUUGGAGGGCUCAAUGUUGCUAGAACUUCUCAUUCUUGACAGAAGGUGGAAAUCCAAAGUUUUAGACAAGACCUUCUGAGUUUUAAAUGUUGACAACCAAUUCAAGGUAGAUGGAUACACUGUGCAGGCCAAUUUAUGAUCUCUGAUGUAAACAGAUAACUUUGGUCAUCGUGGAACAUGAUAGGAAAGGUGGGCAAAGGAGGGACAUCUGACCAACCUGACAAGGGCGAGAAGGUAAAUUGUUUUAGGGAGUCGACCUCUGCCAAGUUGACGGCUUUAUCAAGGCUCCGCCUCACCUAUUUACCCACUGAAUUAUUUGGGGAAGACUUGUAACAUCUGAGUAGUGUUGGUAGAGGGGGAGAAAAUGCUGAGCUGACAGACAAGCCACAGGCCCAGGUCCUAGUAUUGGUUCUCUCUCAAACUCACUGUGCAGCCCUAGGCAGGUCCCAGCCCCUCCAGGUUUAAUUUCUUCAGCGGCAGAAUGAGAAGCUGGAUUUAAGGGUUUUCAAAAUGGGCCCCUCCCAGCCUAGGAAGACUUCAGAGAUGCCUUUGAGGGGUGGGGAAGGGUGGAGUAUCCCGGGGCUUGCAGUAAGACAGCUCAGCCUUUGUUCUGUUUUCUCUUUGGGGCUUCUGCUUUUCUGUGUUUUACAUCUUGAAAUUCUGCCAAAAAAAAAAAAAUUUAAAUUUCUUGAAGAGACAGUUUUCCCACUUUCAAAAAAGCUUCAAAAUCACCAAAUGAGCUUAUCAGGCCUGGUAUGAGAGUUAUUAGUAGAGGUCUGCAGCUGAUCUGAAUGAACGAACACUAGGUCUUUUCCUCCAUUUGCUGCUGUCCUGUCCACUGUCUGUCUGGUUACAAUUGCUCCCGCUCCAACCUCAGGCGUCGAUCAAAUCAACAAGCAGCCGACAAAUAUCGGACGGAUUCUGACACAUUACCCAGUCUCAUAGCUUGUUUGGGGGGGAUUUUCUUUCUGUGUUUUGGUGAACACAUGUGUCCUUUUUGUGAUACUGUCUUGAUCAUAUUUGCUACUAAAAAACUUUUCCUGGCUUACAGGAUUUGAUUAAUUCUACCGACAUUUCAUAAGUUUGAAAAGCACUCAACUGACUUUUAUUUUUUAAUUAAAAAAAUGUUUUUAAUGUUUAUUUGUUUUUGAGAGAGAGAGACACACACACAGACAAACUGUGAGCAGGGGAGGGCCAGAGAGAGAGAGAGACAGAGGGUGUUAUGCCCAGAAUUCCUGAUCCCCAAAGACCGCCAGGGAGCCGAGUCCGAUGUAAAAGCAAAAGAACCUUUAUUUGAGCUAGCUCGAGCUCAAUCCCCUACCUGCAGCAACUCAGCGGUGAGAUACCGGGGAGAGAGAGCAAGUUUCCAAAGGACAAAGGUUUUAAUUGGGGCCUAGGGGCAGUUGGUGAAGUAAUGGCUGUGGCCUCAGCCGAUUGGCUGGGGAAGAGUCGGAGUCCUGUUAGGCAGGUGAGCGGGAGGUUACUCAAGGGGAGGAGGCGUGGUCAAGGUGAAGGACACAGAACAAGAUGGAGUCGGCCGGUGUAGGCCCGCCUUUUCAAGGGCAGGCACAGAAUCUUGAAGCAGGCUCUGAGCUGUUAGCACAGAGCCCGACAUGGGGCUUGAACUCGAGAACCGUGAGAUCAUGACCUGAGCCAAAGUCAGAUGCUUAACCAACUGAGCCACCCAGGUGCACCUAUUUUUUAAUUAAAAAAAACUUUGUUUAAUGUUUAUUUUAUUUUUGAGAGAAAGAGACAGAGCACGAGCAGGGGAGGGGCAGAGAUAGAGGGAGACACAGAACCUGAAGCAGGCUCCACGGUCUGAGCUGUCAGCACAGAGCCUAAUGUGGGGCUCCAACCCACAGAACCGUGAGAUCAUGACCUGAGCUGAAAUUGGAUGCUUAACCAACUGAGCCACCCAGUCGCCCUAGAAAAUCAUUCAACUGACUUUUAAAAAUUAGCUAUAAUUUAUUGAUAGUCUCAUAUGUGCUGACUUUAUGUAUAUCACCUCUAAGCUUCAGAUUAUUAACCCUGCAGAGGAGGUAUUUUUGUGUCUGUUGUACUGACAAAUAAGGAAACUAAGGCUGGGUGAGGUUAAAGGCUUACCCGGAUCACAUAGGUUUUCAGCCCAUACCUGUCCCAGCAUAUUCUCAACCAGACAAUCUCUCUAAGGUUGUUUCUAGCUUUGAGAAGUUAGGAGGCAGGAGUUCUGCUGUCUUAAGCUGCCCUACAGUCAACUGCAAAACUGCUGUCAAUUUUCAACUUUCCGGAACCCGUCAUCUACUUACAAACCUUGAAUGGAAGCUUGUUGAACUCACAGCUAUUCAAGUUUGUUGCCCUAAUCUUGACUGAUAGAAGGGUCUCUCAAUUUGAAUAGUCUCUUCCAUGGUCUGGACAUCGUCAUUGGGAAAUGAGAGAACUUUAGGUCUGGGGGUGGAAAUAGACUUUUGGGGAUGAAUAAGUGGAUUUUCAGUGUUAUUUCUGCACUUGGCUGAGCUGAGUUUCUCCUGCAAAGGAAAUUGCUUUCCCUGUUUGUUGAUCUGCCUCAAGUUCUGGUCCAAUGGAUUCAGUUACCCUAGUGGCGGGUGUAAGCCAAGCGUGUGGCACAAGGCAAGCAUUGACUGUGGACAGCUGUGUUUUUGUUGUUGUUGUUAAGCACUUUGCUGGGCACAUAGUAUAUCCUAGAUCAGUGUUUCUAAUUGCUGUAACCACAGGAUUUUUUUUUUUUUUCUUAAAAGCUCACCUCCAAGACGGUAACACUGUAACAUUUUCAGAGAAUGUUUGUGAACAUUGUAAAAAACAGCAACAACAACAAUGUGAAACAGGCAGCAGAAGUGUUAUGAUUCUCUUUGCACAGGCAAGAAAAGUUUCUGAUCAUUCAUUCAGUUGGCAAGUGGAAGCGCCUGCACGGUAACUCGGAUAUUUCUACCAUAAAUCCUGUGUCCUCUCCGUUUUAUUAGAGUCGUUGGCUUUUCUGACUGGAGGGGAAACCAGUGGACUUUCAGGAUCAGCCUAGUUUUUGUUAACAUCUCUGAUGGUGAUUUUGAAAAAUAAAGAAAGAAAAGCCAGUUUAUUAAUCGCAUGGCUUGAGAAAAACACGAAUAACCAUUGUUUUUCCAUUAAAAAAAAAAAGUAGAGGUCCCAAUUAUAAAUAAGGCCUGAAAGUUUAGAGUUUGCCAUGAUAAAAAAUAUGGGCAAGUGUUUCUUUUUUUUUUUUCUUUAAAAAAUUUUUUGGUGUUUAUUUAUUUUGAGAGAGAGAGAGAGGCCAUGAGCAGGGCAGGGGCAGAGAGAGAGAGAGAGAGAGAGAGAGAAUCCCAAGCAGGCUCUGUGCUGAUGUGGGGGUUCCAUCCCACAAAUUGUGAGGUCCUGACCUGAGUGAAAUCAAGAGUCAGACGCUCAACCAACUAAGCCACCCAGCUGCCCCCCAAAUAUGGGCAAGUGUUUCUGGGCCAACUCCUACCUGGCCUCUGUUUCCUGCAGAGACGAGAAUGGAAUUUGGAUACUGCCCACUUCUGGGAGCGUUGUUUUUUGUUUGCUUUGCAGCUCAGAUGCUUGAAUGAUUCAUUGAUUGAUUGGCUGCCUCUGACUUCUACAGCUAAGUGAAGAGGUUUGUGUAUGUAUGGCUUUCUUUUAAGAAGGAAAAGAGAAGAACGCUGGAGCUCUUUUGCUCCUUUGCUUGGAGCUUUUCACAGCCCAUACUAACAGAUGAACCUAGGUUACCUGGAUGCCUUUUCUCUUUCCUUAGAGGUUAAUUCUUCAAAUGGUUUGUGCCCAAUUCUGCCCCUCUGUGAUAAUGAGGCAGGUAUUUAGAAGCCGCAGGAGAAGUCUGAAGAAUGCUUUGGGUCGCCCUAGACAGAGGGGACACAGGAAGGGCUCACAAGGAUGAGAACUUGGUAGUCAGGUAAUCAUUCCGUUUCCUGUCACUGAGAGCCGUGCUUUGCGACCUUGGCUACACGAGUGAAUUAUACAGAGAGCUUUUCAAACAUACUAAUGCCUGAGACUCAUCGCCCCUCGGUCAGGGCAGGGUCUAAGCAAAGGUAAUUUUUAAGCUUCCCAGGUGAUUCUACAUAUGCACUGAGGUGUGAGAAUCUCUGAUGGCGGCUUCCAGUGUCUUGUUGAAAACCAGGUGGGAUAAUCCCAAGUGACAGCAGCUUGUCCUGCCAGGACGUUACAGGUAUGUUGGGUGAACAGUUCCUUCAGUGUAAAACACACAUUUAUUGAGCACCUCUGUUCUAGGUGCUGGGAAUACUUCCAGGAACAAGACAGCCUGUGUCAACAGAUGCUUUCUUUCUAGUGGGCGGAGACAAAUAAUAAACACACCGACAGGACUGCGAGGAGUGUCAAGAAGGAAACAAACCGAGAGAUUAGGGGUCAGGGAAAGCCUCCCUGAGAAGCUAUUUUUGCAGGACCUGAAGGAGCAGGGGUACCUGGAGCCAACGAUAAGGCAGAGGGACUAGAGGGUGAAAAAGUCCCGAGACAAGGAGGGUGGUGUGUUUGAGGAGCAGAAAAGCCUGCAGUCACUUUCCUUUAUCUCGAAAGAGGAGUGGCAGACAGUGAGCAAGUGCCAGCCUGACAUUUCUUGCAGUUCACACAGAUCACUCAGUAUGCUCUUGCCAAAUAGGACACACUCUGCCAAGGAAGCACAAAGGGAAGUAUCCUGCCGGAGCCAGGGUACUGGGUGCUGGACAAAGAAGUCUCCGCGGUAUUAGCCAAAAAUUGCUGACGAUGAGAAAAAAAUUCGGCAGUCCUACGUGGCACCGAGAUAAGCUAUGAAAAGGAAAAAAAAAUGCAAUUAUACAUUUGAUAUCCAGACGAUUUGGCCUCAUUCUUUAGUCUUUUAUCUUGUUGCUCACCAUCACUUUGAAUGCAGCCUAUCAGUGGGGCAGAACUGGCCUCAUUUGAGAACUCAUUCAGUUCUCUGACACGCUGCUUUGGAGGCCUCCCCCCAACCAAACUUUCUGGACGGGGGAAUGUUUGUCAGAUAUGUAUAAAUAAGGUCAGAGCCAUCGGCUCUAUGCCUGUAGGAGACCCUAAAUAUUUCUGUGAAUCUCUUGUUUUUGAGAAACACAGACCCAGCUCCCUUCCUUGGUUUCACACAAGACUUCUACUUAAAUUGUGGAGGCUCACCAACUGCUUAACAUCUCAUGGCAACCAAAGAAAAAAAGCUACACUGAUUUAUUUUUAAAGGUUGUUUUUCUUUUUCUUUUCUUUUCUUUUCUUUUCUUUUCUUUUUCUUUUUCUUUUUUUUUUUUUUUUUUUUUUUUUUUUUUUGGAAUCUCUACACCCAUCAUGGGGCUCAAACACACAACCCUGAGAUCAAGAGUUGCAUGCUCCUCCGACUGAGCCAGCCCAGGUGCCCCGACACUUAUUUUUAGCUAAACUUUCUGAGGUCCCUCUCCUAUUAAGUUUAAAUGGUUUUUUUCAAUCACAUAACCUGGAAUUAAUUUUUCUGGUUGGCAUGUUGUUACUCAUACUCUAUAAAACAAACCAUGGGGUUCAAUGCAAAGAAAACAACUGUAAUUAAUAUAUAUCCUCAACCAGAACAUCCAAGAAUUCCAAUAAUUUCCAAAUGCUUUUGCAUAAGAGAUCAUAAUGAUGCCCGGGUAAAAUAGGAGUGCUUUAAAAGAUGAUUUUAAUGAGAAAGAUAGCCCUUCUUAAAUUCUUAUGAGGCAAGGAAAAACUCACCCAAUUAUUGAAAGGAAAAAAAAAGGCUGUGGCAAUUGUUAAAGGAUUUCUUUUAUUUCUAACAAUAAUAUAGGGGUUUUAUAAGCUCUUCCCAUGCCGUAAGUAGGAGUGUGAAACUUAGCCGAUGGGAUCAUGGAAAGAGGGUGACUGAAUUAUAGUCAUGGCUACUACUAAUGAGGAAAAACAAGUCAAGAGGAAACCUGGGACAGUUUUCUCUUUUUUUGAGGCUUAAACAAGACAAGAUGGAUUUAAAUUGCAUCAGGAUGGGUUUCUUCUUGAAAUAAAAUGCCCAUAAUGCCUAUAAAACAAGCCAGUUGGUUAGAAAUAUACAUGUCUAUGGUUUCCAUCAAUUCUUAUGUGGUAUAGAUCAUACAUGGUUUUUGAAGCACCACAAUUAUGGCACCUGGAAGUGAAGGUUAAGUAUUACCAGAGUUAGUAAAAAUAAUUAAUUAGUGGGUAUUUAUUUUAAAAAAAAAAUUUUUUUUUUCAACGUUUAUUUAUUUUUGAGACAGAGAGAGACAGAGCAUGGACAGGGGAGGGGCAGAGAGAGAGGGAGACACAGAAUCGGAAACAGGCUCCAGGCUCCGAGCCAUCAGCCCAGAGCCUGAUGCGGGGCUCGAACUCACGGACCGCGAGAUCGUGACCUGGCUGAAGUCGGACGCUUAACCGACUGCGCCACCCAGGCGCCCCUAAUUAGUGGGUAUUUACAUGGCAAAAUAAUUGGCCAUGAGGCCAAAGAACCAUGUCUACCUUGUUCAUUGUAUUCCCGGCACCUAGCACUUCAUGGAUACUCUUCAAAUAUUUGUUGAAUGGAUUCAUUUUUCAAGUAGCAGCCGCACUACAUGCAUUUGAUCCCUCCAAACUUGAUUAGAAGUAACUUCUCCAGGAGAGCUUAUGUUACCCAAAGACAGCAGAUGCACCAAGAGAGCAAAUGAGAUGCUCAAGGAUGAGCAGUGAUGUCUUAUCAAGGAAAACAGCAAAACCUCUUUUUUCCUGAAGACCUUUCACCAUUAGGACAAGCAACUGUUGGUAAAAACAGAACAGCAGGAAGAUUUGAACUGCCAAGCAGGAUCAUGCUUUCAAGUAUAUUCCUGGCUAAAAGCAGGAGAUAAACUGGAUAAAACGUAGCAGCCCUGAGAUCUGUCCCUGAUUAACUAGGCCUAAGAGUAAGAGUCUAAAGAACGGCUGCCUGGCUGAACGCAUCCUUUGGAUAUUGUUAUCAUCAGCAGCCUCUAGAUUUGAAAACAGUGCUGAACACGCUUUCAAAUGAUCUUUGAGGUACUUUAAGCUACAGCUGAAAGCUUACCUCGCCUUCUUUUCUGUUUGCUUGAACAAGAGCCUGAAAAAGAAGGUUAAAGAGCUCUCUAGUGAUGUCCUUCACUCCUGUCCUAAAAAGAACCUCUCUUCUUUACUGAGUUAAGGGGAUUUCACAACUCCCAGAGGAUAAUGUGAAGUUAGUUUUCACUCACUGCUGAACCAACUAAAGUUCCUUUCAGAUUCUUUUCCUAGACUGGAAAAGUGUCUGAGCUCUUCAAGCUAGUAUUCGUUAUUGCAGAAAGAUGGAGAUUAUGUUAUAUUCUAUACUAUAAUGGGGCAUAAAAUGUUUAAAUCAUGAAGCUUCAUAAAAUGUGUAAAAGGUUAAAAAAAAGCAUACCUUAACAUUUAUAAGUACUUAUCACUGGUCUGUGAAAGGACAUUUUCUUAGUGCCUCAACCUGUAAGUGAAUGUCAAUAAAGAUGAGUGGGAAGAUAUUUUAUACACAUAUUUUUCCAUAUUUAUUAUAUGAGGUAUUUAUUAAUAAUAAUUUAUAUUUAUAUGGAGAUAGUAAUCUCUUCCAUAAUUGACACUGCACCCAGUCCUGGUGUAGCUAUUUAAAUGCAUGUAAAUUAAAUAAAUUAUAGCAAAGUCACAAAACUGACAAGCCCAAUAUGAGAACAGCAGUCUUCAGAUUAAAAAAAAUUUUUUUUCAUGUUUAUUUUUGAGAAAGACAGAGUGUGAGUGGGGGAGGAGGAGAGAGAGAGGGAGACACAGAAUCGGAAGCAGGCUCCAGGUUCCCAGCUGUCAGCACAGAGCCCGACUCGGGGCUUGCGUUCAUGAACCGUGAGAUCAUGAUCUGAGCCGAAGUCGGACUCUUAACCGACCGAGACACCCAGGCGCCCCUCAGUCUUCGGAUUUUAAAAAAUUAUUUGCUGGGGCACCUGGGUGGCUCAGUCGAUUAAGUGUCUGACUCUUGAUCUCAGCUCAGGUCAUGAUCUCACGGUUUGUGGGAUUGAAGCCCCUGUCAGCUCUGUACCAACAGUGUGCAGCCUGCUUGGGAGUCUCUCCCUCCUUCUCUCUCUGCCCCUCCCCUGCUUGCACUCUCUCUCUUUCUCAAAAAUAAAUAAAUUUAAAAAAUAAAAUUAAAAAAAUAAAUUAUUUGCUGCCGAUAAUUUGAUAAAUAUAAUUAAAAUGUAUCUGUUGGAUAUAUAUGUUGGAUUUCAUGCAUAUAAUACUAAAAUACAAAGUUGGAAGUUGCUGGCUAGACAUCACUUUCUUAAACAGCUUUAUUGAGAUAGUAUUCACUUAGCAUAAAGUUCACACUUCCAUAGACUUGUGCAGCCAUCGCCAGAAACUAAUUUUAGAGCAUUUUCCCUACCUCCCAAAACUACUGUUAGCAGCCAUUCUCCACUCUUCAUCCCCUUUCCCCCAACUCAGCUCUGGGCAACCACUAAUCUCCUUUCUGUCACUAUGGAUUUGCUCAUUGUGGACAUUUUACAUAAAUGGAAUUGUACAAUAUAUGAUCUUUCGUAUUUAGCUUUUAUCACUCUGCGUGUUUUCAGGGUUCAAUCAUCUUGUAGCAUGUAUCAGUACUUAAUCCUUUUUAUGGCUGAAAAAUAUUCCAGUGUGUGGAUAAACCAUUUUUGUUUAUCCAUCAGUUGAUGGACAUAUGGUUUGUUUUCACUUGGGGGCUAUAAUGAAUAAUACUGCUGUGAACAUUUGUGUGCAAGUUUUUGCGCGAACAUCUGAUUUCAUUUGGGGGGGGGGUUGCUGGGUCAUUUAAUAACUGUUUACCGUUUUUAAAAACUGUUUUCCAAAAUGACUGCACCAUUUUACAUUUCCACUAGCGACAUGUGAAGGUUCCAGUUUCUCCGCAUUCUCAUCAACACUUGUUGCCUGUCUUUCUUCUUAGAGCCAUUUAAUGGAUGUCAACUAGUAUCUCAUUGUGAUUUUUGAGUUGCACUUCCGUAAUAACUAAUGAUGCUGUGCAUCUUUUCGUGUGCAUAUUGGCUGUUUGUUUAUCUUUCUUGGAGAAAUGUCUGUUCAAAGUAUUCAAAACUACUUUGACUGUUUUUCAUCUGGGCUAUGUAUUUUUUUAUUGUUGAGUUGUAAGAAGUCUUCAUAUGUUCUGGAUACUUGACCCCUAUCAGAUGUAUGAUUUGCAAAUAUUUUCUCUCAUCCUGUGAGUGAGCGGGUGUCUUUGCACUUUCUUAAUGGUGUCCUUUGACUCAGGAAAGUUUUCCUAGUUUGAUUACCAAUUUAUUUUUUCUUUGGUUGCUUGUACAAAACUUUUUAAUUUUAAUGAGGCCCAAUUUAUCUCUAUUUCCUUUUGUUGCUAUGUUAAGGUGUCAUAUACUAUAUAAGAAACUAUUGGCUAAACCCAAAACCAUUGCCUGAAGAUUUACUCCUAUGUUUUCUUCUUAGUGUUUUAUAGUUUUACCUCUUACAUUUAAGUCUGUGAUCCCUUUUGAUUUAUUUUUUCUGUAUGGUAUAAGGUGGGGGUCCAGGUCAUUCUCUAGCAUUUGUAUAUCCAGUGGUCUUUCUCAAUUUAUAUGUCUUAGCCCUCUUGUUGAAAAUAAAUUGACCAUAAAUGUAAAAGUUUAUUUCUGGACUCUCAAUUCUAGUCCAUUAUCUAUAUAGAUCUGCCCUUGUGCCUGGCGGUACAACCCUGUCUGGAUUACUGUAGCAUUGUAGUAAGUUUUGAAAUCAAGAAGUGUGAGUCCUUCAACUUUCUUGUUUUGAAGGAAUUUUUUAAAUUAAAUUAUUAUUAUUUAAAAUUUUUUUUUGAUGUUUAUUGAUUUUUGAGAGAGAGAGAGAGAGCAUGAGCAGGAGAGGGGCAGAGAGAGAGGGAGACACAGAAUCUGAAGCAGGCUCCAGGCUCCCAGCUGUCAGCACAGAGCCCAUGCAAGGACUUGAACUUACAAACUGUGAGAUCAUGACCUGAGCUGAAGUCAGACACUUAACCGACUGAGCCACCCAGGCACCCCUAUUAUUAUUAUUAUUAUUAUUUAAGUAACUCUGUCCUCGAUAUGGGGCUUGAACUCACAACUCUGAGAUCAAGAGUCGCAUGCUCUACUGACUUAGCCAGGCAGGUGCCCUAAAGGAAUCUUUUUUUUUUUUUUUUUUUUUUUUUAAUUUUCAAUCUAGUGUAGUUAACAUGCAGUGUUAUAUUUAUUUCAGUCUUCUUUUUUUUUUUCCCCCAAGGAUCUUUUGACUAUUCUGUGGGCAUCCCUUUUGCAGGUCUCACUGAGAUAGGGUCUAAUCCUUAGUUUUGCAGUUGUAGGCCUUUAAAAAAAUUCUCGAGGUGUAACUGACGUGGGCUGGUUUCAAGUCUACAACAUAAUGAUUUGAUAUUUGUAUAUACUGGGGAAUGAUCCCCACAAUAAGUCUAGUUAACAUCCAUCACCAUAUGUAAUUACAAAUUUUUCCCCCUUGGGAUGCAAACUUCUAAGAUUCUCUCAGCAACUUUCAAAUAUGCAAUACAGUAUCAUUAACUAUAGUCACGAUGCUGUACAUUACAUCCCCAUGGCUUAUUUUGUAACUGGAGGUUUGUAUCUUUUGACCCCUUUCACCCAUUUUUCCCACCCACUACCCUCUCCUCGGACAACCACUAAUCUGUUUUCUGUAUCUGUGAGGUUGGUGGGUUUUUUUUUUUUUUUAAAUAUUUCAUACAUAAAUGAGAUCAUGUGGUAUUUGUCUUUCUUGGUCUGACUAACUUCACUUAGUCUAAUACCUUCAAGGCGCAUCACUGUUGUUACAAGGGCAAGAUUUCAUUUCUUUUUAUGGUUGAAUAAUAUUCCAUUGUAGAUACAUACCACAUUGCCUUUAUCUGUUUCUCCAUUGAUAGACACUUAGGGUAGGGCACCUGUCGAGAGCCUGUGGCUCUCGAUCUUGGGUGUCAUGAGUUCGAGCCCCAUUUUGAGUGUAAAGAGUACUUAAAUAAACAAACAGACUUUUAAAAAAUGGGUUGUUGCCAUGUCUUGGCUAUUGUAAAUAAUGCUGCAGUGAACAAGGCGGGGGGGUGGGCAUGUAUCUUUUCAAAUUAGUGUUUUGUUUUCUUCAGAUAAAAACCCAGAAGAGUUGCUGGAUCAUUUGGUAGUUCUAUUUUUAAUUUUUGAGGAACCUCCAUACUGUUUGCUAUAGCGGCUGCACCAAUUUACAUUUCCAUCGACAGUACACAAGGGUUCCCUUUUCUCCAUAUCCUCUCAACACUUAUUUCUUGUCUUUUUGAUAAUAGCCAUUCUAACAGUUAUGGGGUGAGUUUUGGGAUCUUGAGUACAUCAGUUUCCCCCAAAAGUGAACAGGUGACAGAGCAGGAGUUCAUAUUCCUCAAACUUGCAAGAAAAUGUCAUCUGAUGGCUACAUUUUGUGAUAUUUCCUGUUUGACGCCCUGACCCAAAAUGCCAGUAGGGAAAUUCCCCCUUCUAAGAUGCGGGAUUAGUUGCCAAGAGGUUGCUUGCUAAACAUGGAAUUGGAAACUAGACAGAGAGGAGGGAUACAAUGUAAUGGUUAAGAGUUACAGGCUUUAGGACCAGACAGCUCUAAGUUUGAAUCCUGUCUCUGCCACUCAAUGAUUGUGUAACCAGGGCAAGACUUUGGACCCUAUUCAUUUGUACAGGGGGAAAAAGAGUCCUUUCCUCAUACACUGGCUGUGAAGGUAAAAUGAAACAGGGAAUGUAAACCCUUAACACUGCCUAUGACUAAUUAAACUUAAGUACAUGGUACCUAUUGGAUGCACUUGUAGAAUGUUUCCUUCAGAGUGUGAAGAACUGGUCUUUGUCAUAGCACAGGCUUUCUGGUGACUUGAGUCAUUAUGUCUGCAAAUAGGGGGACGGACCUUUUUGGUUUGAAAAUCAUUGGCCAAGACUGGAGCCAUUUAUACUCUAGAGUGGGAUAGAGGGACCUGGAGAGCAUUGUCACCACCUGCCUCUGGACAUUGCAUUGCCUGAUGGAAAUGGUAGGCCAGUGUCGUUAGAUUUCAGUGUUGUUGAUGAUACUGAUUUUUGGUCAUUUAAAUUGCAGAGGGUAGGAGCACCUGGCUGGCUCAGUCAGAAGAGCAUGCGACUCUUGAUCUCAGGGUCAUGAGUUUGAGCACCACGUGGGGUGUAGAGAUUAAAUAAAUAAAACUUUUUUUUUUAAUUUUUUUUUUCAACGUUUAUUUAUUUUUGGGACAGAGAGAGACAGAGCAUGAACGGGGGAGGGGCAGAGAGAGAGGGAGACACAGAAUCGGAAACAGGCUCCAGGCUCCGAGCCAUCAGCCCAGAGCCUGACGCGGGGCUCGAACUCACGGGCCGCGAGAUCGUGACCUGGCUGAAGUCGGACGCUUAACCGACUGCGCCACCCAGGCGCCCCUAAAACUUUUAAAAAUUAAUUAAUUAAAUUGCAGAGGGUACUAUUUACUGAUCUAGCCUUUUAAAUCUGGGAUUUAGAGCCUUCCUUUGCAAUGGCUUUUUCAGAGUCUGUAUAUUCAGAAACCUCAGGUACCAAGAAUACCACUAAGAUUUAAGAAAUAAAUGAAAACAGGGGCAUCUGGGUGGCUUAGUUGGGUGAGUGUCCGACUCUUCAUCUUGGCUCAGGUCACGAUCUCACAGUUUGUGGGUUUGAGCCCUUUGUGGGGAUCCGUACUGACAACUCAGGGCCUGGAGCCUGCUUCAGAUUCUGCGUCUCCUUCUCUCUCUGCCCCUCCCCCAUUUGCACUCUGUCUCUCCCUCUCUCUCUCUAAAAAAUAAACAUCAAGAAAAGAGAAAAAAGAAAAAAGAAAGAAGUGAAAACGGGCGCCUGGGUGGUUCAGUUGGUUAAGUGUCCGACUUCAGCUCAGGUCAUGAUCUCUUGGUCCUUGAGUUCCAGCCCCACAUUGGGCUCUGUGCUAGCAGCUCGGAGCCUGGAGCCUGCUUCGGAUUCUGUGUCUCCCUCUCUCUCUGCCCCUCCGCUGCUUGCACGUGUGCUCUCUGUCUCUGUCAAAAAUAAACAUUAAAAAAAAUGUUUUUAAAUAAGUGAAAAACCACUCAUUGAAAAGUCAAAAUAAAUGUCGCAAAAACUCAUGUGCUUAAGAGAAUCCCAUAGAAGAUCUUUAUUCAAAACCCAAGAGUCUAAACUAAUGAAAGUUUAUCAGUGUCUAAGUUCAUAGUAAAUUGAAGAAUAAAAAAAAAAAGGAAAGAAGGUUGUCAGCUAGAAAAAUAGAGAAAUGUCAAUCUGGUAGUGAGGAAUGAGACAUACAAAAAGACAGAUGUAAGUUUAAAGUAACAGCUUUCUAGAGGCCAUUUUUUCAUUAGGACAAAUAGCUCUGCAUCCUUUUUUUUUUUUAACUUAUUUAUUUUGAGACAGAGAGAGGGCGUGGGAGCAGGACAGGGGCAGAGAGAGAAGGAGAGAGAGAAUGCUAAGCUAAGACUCUGUGCUGUCAGCACAGAGCCCAACGUGGGGCUCAGACCCACAAACCUUGAGAUCAUGACCUGAGCCGACAUCAGGACACCCCUCUACAUACUUUUGAAGGCAUCCACUGAUCAUAAUAGAAUACAUUGAUGUUGAUAAUGAUAAUGAUGCUUUUUAAUCACUGAGUGUAAGUACUUUUUCAAAGAUUCAAGAAAACCUGAGUUUUCUCGGGGAGAAACGUUCUGUAAAAAGGAGCUAAAGUUUUAGGCAAGAUAUGGGAUAUCUUAUUCUCUUGUUUGAUCCCAGAUAAAUGUUACUGGCCUUAAAUUCUAUUCAACAGGUUGAAUUUGCAAACUAAAGGAGUAUUCAAAUAAGUAGUGUAGGGAGCUUGGGGUUGAACUGUUUCCGUGCAUUCUCAGCCUAGUAUGUGGUUGUUAUUAAGUAUCCUUGAGGGGAAUCAAAGCUGUAAUUGUAACUUCUCCCUCAGCAGGGUUUCCUCCGAGCCCCUUCAAUAUCUGAGCUAAAUAGACUUGUGUUGAUCCACUCUGGAGGGCCUGCAUGGGGAAUAUGAAGAAUGAAAUUACCUGGCAACUAGCACUCUGUAUACCGCAGCCAUUCCGUUCCGGUCAGGCAUAAACAAGCACAGUGACAUUGCUCUAUGCUUCUUUUGUGGAGUCUGCAGCUCAAGAGAUUUCUGUCAACUGGAAGGUGAAUGCUGAAUAUCGCCCACACUGGAUUUGAACCGGUAAACAGUUUCGAACAAACAUAAGGUAGACAGACUGAAGUUCUAACAUCCCAUUAUUUUGUCUACCACCCGUUCUAAUGUGGAUUUUAAAGCUUUAAUUAGGCAUGGGAGCCAGCACAGAGCCUGAAAGAGACCUGUUAGGAUUUUAGUUAGAGCUGGAAGGCUUUUGGAAAAUUUGGCCCAGCCUCUUCAUUUUACAGAAGGGAAAACCGAGGCUCUGGGACAUGUUAUGAUUUAAUGUAGGUCACACAGUUAAUUAGUGACAGAGCGAGAGGGAACCCAAGGUGUCCCCACAACUCCUUCGGCCGGUGGUUUUCUAGUAGGCCACCUACUCCUAGACCGAUGUCCCUGUCUCCCUCCUUUCUUUCUUCCUUUUCUCCCCCCCCCCCCCCCCUCUCCUUGUUCUUUCUUUCCCUUCUUCGCGGUGCAAAUCAGAACGUGGGCCUGAACACCGGGAAGACUAGGUGUCAGCCCCAGCUCUCCACCACUUGAGGUGCGCGCUCGCUCGCUUGCUCGCUCUCUGCAUCAGGACUUGGGGCUGGGUCUCUUCUCUCCAUGGCAGGUGCUUAGCACCUGGGCAGAAUCGCUGCAUCAUCGCGGCGCCCCUCUCCCUGCUCCCGAUUUUACAGCACGGGCGUGUGUCACGGCGGUGGCCGAGCAGGAGAAGGACGCGGGUCUGAACCCACGCCGUUCGAAAAGGGAGGCUCAGGAAACCCUCUCGGUUCCCGGCUGGCCCCGGGCUGGCGGAGAGAUGCCCAGCGCGUGAGUGACCUCGGCGCCGACCCCGCCACUGGNNNNNNNNNNNNNNNNNNNNNNNNNNNNNNNNNNNNNNNNNNNNNNNNNNNNNNNNNNNNNNNNNNNNNNNNNNNNNNNNNNNNNNNNNNNNNNNNNNNNNNNNNNNNNNNNNNNNNNNNNNNNNNNNNNNNNNNNNNNNNNNNNNNNNNNNNNNNNNNNNNNNNNNNNNNNNNNNNNNNNNNNNNNNNNNNNNNNNNNNNNNNNNNNNNNNNNNNNNNNNNNNNNNNNNNNNNNNNNNNNNNNNNNNNNNNNNNNNNNNNNNNNNNNNNNNNNNNNNNNNNNNNNNNNNNNNNNNNNNNNNNNNNNNNNNNNNNNNNNNNNNNNNNNNNNNNNNNNNNNNNNNNNNNNNNNNNNNNNNNNNNNNNNNNNNNNNNNNNNNNNNNNNNNNNNNNNNNNNNNNNNNNNNNNNNNNNNNNNNNNNNNNNNNNNNNNNNNNNNNNNNNNNNNNNNNNNNNNNNNNNNNNNNNNNNNNNNNNNNNNNNNNNNNNNNNNNNNNNNNNNNNNNNNNNNNNNNNNNNNNNNNNNNNNNNNNNNNNNNNNNNNNNNNNNNNNNNNNNNNNNNNNNNNNNNNNNNNNNNNNNNNNNNNNNNNNNNNNNNNNNNNNNNNNNNNNNNNNNNNNNNNNNNNNNNNNNNNNNNNNNNNNNNNNNNNNNNNNNNNNNNNNNNNNNNNNNNNNNNNNNNNNNNNNNNNNNNNNNNNNNNNNNNNNNNNNNNNNNNNNNNNNNNNNNNNNNNNNNNNNNNNNNNNNNNNNNNNNNNNNNNNNNNNNNNNNNNNNNNNNNNNNNNNNNNNNNNNNNNNNNNNNNNNNNNNNNNNNNNNNNNNNNNNNNNNNNNNNNNNNNNNNNNNNNNNNNNNNNNNNNNNNNNNNNNNNNNNNNNNNNNNNNNNNNNNNNNNNNNNNNNNNNNNNNNNNNNNNNNNNNNNNNNNNNNNNNNNNNNNNNNNNNNNNNNNNNNNNNNNNNNNNNNNNNNNNNNNNNNNNNNNNNNNNNNNNNNNNNNNNNNNNNNNNNNNNNNNNNNNNNNNNNNNNNNNNNNNNNNNNNNNNNNNNNNNNNNNNNNNNNNNNNNNNNNNNNNNNNNNNNNNNNNNNNNNNNNNNNNNNNNNNNNNNNNNNNNNNNNNNNNNNNNNNNNNNNNNNNNNNNNNNNNNNNNNNNNNNNNNNNNNNNNNNNNNNNNNNNNNNNNNNNNNNNNNNNNNNNNNNNNNNNNNNNNNNNNNNNNNNNNNNNNNNNNNNNNNNNNNNNNNNNNNNNNNNNNNNNNNNNNNNNNNNNNNNNNNNNNNNNNNNNNNNNNNNNNNNNNNNNNNNNNNNNNNNNNNNNNNNNNNNNNNNNNNNNNNNNNNNNNNNNNNNNNNNNNNNNNNNNNNNNNNNNNNNNNNNNNNNNNNNNNNNNNNNNNNNNNNNNNNNNNNNNNNNNNNNNNNNNNNNNNNNNNNNNNNNNNNNNNNNNNNNNNNNNNNNNNNNNNNNNNNNNNNNNNNNNNNNNNNNNNNNNNNNNNNNNNNNNNNNNNNNNNNNNNNNNNNNNNNNNNNNNNNNNNNNNNNNNNNNNNNNNNNNNNNNNNNNNNNNNNNNNNNNNNNNNNNNNNNNNNNNNNNNNNNNNNNNNNNNNNNNNNNNNNNNNNNNNNNNNNNNNNNNNNNNNNNNNNNNNNNNNNNNNNNNNNNNNNNNNNNNNNNNNNNNNNNNNNNNNNNNNNNNNNNNNNNNNNNNNNNNNNNNNNNNNNNNNNNNNNNNNNNNNNNNNNNNNNNNNNNNNNNNNNNNNNNNNNNNNNNNNNNNNNNNNNNNNNNNNNNNNNNNNNNNNNNNNNNNNNNNNNNNNNUUUUUUUUUUUUUUUUUCAGAAAAAUAAAACUUUUCAGAACAAAGUAGACCAAAAAUUUCUUAAAUUGUGGUAUUAACAGUGUUCCAUAGUUAACUUUUCCUGGGAGUCUGGGGUUGACACUACUGUGACUUUUACCCAUUGUGUGAAAUGCUCAGAACUACCUCAGAAUUAUCCCGUAUUAAAUAAAGUUUAUUUUCAUUAAUAAAAUCACUAUCACAUUUUAGUUUCUCAGUUUUGCAUGCUACUUUUCACCUUUUCCCUUUCCCUGAUUUCAAACUCCAGUUCUACUUAACCAACUACCACCUUGAAGGGGAGAAUAAGGGCUUCUCUUGUGUAAUAUUACUCUACCUAAACUGUGCAUAAUUGCACAGGUACUUUUCAAAAGAAUGGCUAGGUCCACAAACUCUUUAAUGUACAGAAGGUGAACUUACCUGGGGUGGGUGGGGGUGGGGGACUCCACAUUGCAGAGGGAGCAGUGUGUGGGUGGGCACCCGGGUGUGUGUUUUGGUCUUUUGGGGGAGGGGGUUUCAGUGCAAAAGGAUGAACAUAGCGUUUCUUCAUUUCUGUUAGAUUUACACAACUUGAAAUUAAGUGGGACUUUUUGCUAAUAGUACAGAGUCUUCCGUAGGAUACAUACUGGAUAAAUAUUUGUUAACUGAAAAACAUCUAUUGCUCUAAGCAAGUUAAACAUGCAUUUUGUAUCUUCCAGGACUUCGCCUUUGCUUGUAUUGCUUAGACACUUCACAUUAAGUAGUUACAAUGUACUACAAGGUAUUGGCAGGUCUCAGCCCUUAGUGAGUUUCCUGUAAACCACAGAUCAUAUAAUACAGACAUGAAGUGCUUUGGGAGAAAAAUUUAAAAAAAUUGCCUCCCAGAUUAGAUUCAGGUAUCUUUGUCAUUCUGGACGGUUUUAGGAGAGUGGUUGUUGUAGAAUUAAAAAACAAAAACCUUGUGAUUGAAUAACUAGGAGAAAAUAUCCUAAGGACAUAAGAUAGCAUUAGGAAAAUAAAUUGUUAAGCCUUCUUGAUUUAGAAGGAGUUCUGAUUGGAGAGAAUCAGGUUUUGUCACUUUACUAGCUGUGUAGCUGUACUCAAGUUUUGUAACUUCUGUGAACCUAAGUUUUCUUGAGUUUUACAGUUCUGUGAUUCUGACUGUCCCAAGAGAUAUGUCCUCUGAAAUAUAAAACUUACGCCUGGGUUGAAGUGUAUGGAAAGGCAGAGGUUUUGAAACAAAUAGUGGUAUAGUUGGCCUUACCUGAAAAGAACAUUUUUAAAAGAAUAAGGUCACGUGGGAGGCAUGAAUAAAGAUAAGAAAGCAGUGUUGUUAAAAAAAAAAAAAAUCCCAUGAUAUAAGGUUAAUAAAAUCAUAGAAUUUUCAACUUGGAAGUAGCUUUAGAAACUUUUAACUCCAAACCCAUUUUCUGGUGUAACCGAAUGCCUUCUAUAAGGCAUUGAACUAGACGUUGGCACUUUACCUAUGGAAACAAGGUAGAAGUCAAGGAGGGGCUUAAUGUAUAAAAUUAAGAGUCAGGAACUGAAGAAGAAUGACAGAAGUGAAAUGUAUUGAAGUUUCAAUAGUAAAAUAAAAAUUUUGGUACAUAUGAACAUUUUAGAUAUUAUGAAGGGUUAGAUGUGUUUGUCACUGAUACAAAUGUAGUAGAAGUAAAAGUCAACCAAAUACUUUGACAGAGAAGACAAAAACGAAAUCCUAGAGAAGUCAAAGUAUGAAGGAAAAAUAAAUAUGACUGAAAUAAUAUAUACGCUGGGGAAAUAAAGACCAUUGGUAAGAAUAUGGAAACUUAAGGCAUUUGGUUAGACUGAAAAUGAAUUAUGAAACUAAUAAUGAAAGCUUGCUGUCAUAAGUGUUUGAAAAACUUUGAAAGCCAAAAAUUGGAAUCAGAAGAGAUUUAUGAACACUGAGGAGAUAGACCGAUUUUACUGUAACCUUUUAAAUGUUUUGUAGCUGUCUUGGUGUUGAGAUGAUUAACAUGUCUUAACCAUAUUCAGAUUUCUUACAUGAUAGAAGAUUUAGCUUUUUUACACUAAUUUACUUUGUGAAUAUAAGUUGCCACAUUCCAGUUUUAUAACUGUCUUCUGACACUGUGUUUCUGUUUACUUGUUUGGGCUUUGCUCCCCUACAUUCUGCCCCUGAAUUUUACCAGUCUGAAUACUCAGGUCAGAUUCCACCCUGUGAAUAAGGUCAUCUUUUGUCAUUGUGGCCCUUAGGGAUCUCUCCUUCCCAUGACCAUAGCAUUAUAAUUUGUCUCACUUAUUUGACGUAUCACAUACAACUUCCUGACGUUCUCCCUACUGUAUUGGUUUUAAUUUUGCGGGAACACCUUUGGCUCUUCCCUUUUAGAAACAGUUGGGUGCACUUGGCUCCAUAGCUCAGGAGUUAGAGCACUGGUCUUGUAGAAACAGUUGGAAAGCUGAUCAAGUGAUGAAGGGGAAACCCAGAGAAGCGGAAGCCACUUUAAGCUAUAAUUUAUUCUCUGAACUCCAGGUCACUCACAUGCAUUGAUUCAUUAAAAAGAUUUAUUUAUUAAGAGAUUCCUUUAUUUAGUUCUUUAUUGUAUUGCAUAAUAAAUUUAUUUAUCCCUGCCUUUGUAGAAUUUACAGUCUAAUAGUGGGAACAGUCUAAUAAUGGGCAUGUAAAUAACAAAUGUAAGUUACUGUUUAUGAUGAAUUCAGUAAAGGAAAAGAAUGCUAUGAGAGAAAAAUGGGGAGGGUUUGAGAUUGGUCAGAGAAGGCCUCUUUUAGGUAGUGAUAUUUUUUAAGUCAAGACAAAGAUUAAGAAGCUAGAUAGGGAAAGGGUUUCUUGGAAGAGAAAAGAAUAUGAAGGCAAGAAAGAACUUAAUUAUGUUGGAAGAAAUGAAAGAAAUUCAAAGUGGCAGGAGUAUAAUAAUCAAGGAAAACCAUGUAAGAUGAGAGAUAGGCAGAGUGCAGAUCAUACAGGGCCUUGCAGGGCACAUUAAAGACUUGGGUUUUACUGAGGAUGUUACAGUGAGUCAUUGAAGAUUUUGAAGCAAAGAUUUUGAAUGCCUUAGAUUUUAAGACUAAUACUAGUUAAGAAUGGAUUAGAGAAAGGCGAAAUGGAAGCAAAGACUACUACGUACAGUCGUUGAGGUAAGAUGAUGGGAGCUGGCCCUAGGGUAGCAAUAUCAUCUAGUUUGAUAGAGCUGAGAGUCGCAGGGGAGUUGACAACUUCAUGACAGAUUGGAGGUUAAAGGAAAGGUGUCAGAGUGACCUCCAGGUUCCUGGCUUGAGGACCUAGAAAGAUGGUGGUGAGAUUUUCUGAGUUGAACAUGAGGGGAAAAAGAAGUUUGGCAAGAAAUUAAGCUUUGAACACCAUUCCAGGCAAGAGCUUUAGAAGGCAGAGUGAGGGGAGGGGGACUACCUUUAUCUGACCCAUCCGUGCCUCCGCUACAGUAGGUUUAGCUGUAUACGCAACACCACACCAUCACCGUACUCUUAGCGUGUAUGUUGAGAAGAAAAAGCAAGCUUCAUAUUUAUGUUAGAAGAAUUAGGAACUUGAAAUGAUCUUAAUUUUUAACAAUACACUUCAGUUUUUGAAAGUUGAUUUGUGAAAAAAGAUUUAAUACAGUUCUUUGUAAAAUGUAAUAAUACAGACUAUAUUAGAUAAGAAGGUUUGAGAAAAAAAAUUAACCUGAAUGUAGUAUCAGAUGGGUUUCGAUAUUAUUUGGGUGAUGGCACAGAAUACAAGUCUUGUAAUCUUGAUGUUCUCAAGAAAGUGGCACUCUUUAAAGUUAUUAGCUUGUAGGCAGCCUGAUAUUAAAUUUAUCAUUUUUAAUGAGGCCUCUGGUGCUUAUGAGUAAAAAUCCUAAGUGCAGGCCAUUAGGAGCUAUUAUUUAUCAAAUAACUGUAGAUGGUGAUAUUUCUUAUAAUUUGUCAUUACUAACUAAGCAAAUAGUAAGUUUUUAAAAAAAAAACUUUAAAACUUAAAAAAGAUUUUUUUUAAUGUUUAUUUUUGAGAGAGAGACAGAGCGUGAGGUGGGGAGGGGCAGGGAGAGAGAGGGAGACACAGAAUCCAAAGCAGGCUCCAGGCUCUGAGCUGUUGGCACAGAGCCCUAUGUGGAGCUUGAACCUGCAAACCAUUAGAUCAUGACAUGAGCCGAAGUCAGACGCUUAACUGACUGAGCCACCCAGGCGCCCUUAAAACUUUUUUUAACCAGCAAUUUUAAAUAUUGUUAUUGCCUCACAGGGACACAGUUUGAAAUCUGAAGGGAAAAAUAAAGAUCAUUUUUCUUGUUCAGUGGUUAUUUCAGUUUAGUUUACUUGACUAAGCAGCAGCAGUAUAAAGUAUAUUGAAUUUUAUUCUCUUAGAAAUCAAUGGCUAUGCUUCUGAAAGAUAACUGCUAAUAUAUCUUAUUCUUAUAUAAGAAGAAGGAAAAAAUGGUUCAGAUAAUGGUUAGGUUUCAUAUAUUUUACAUAAAUUUUGUUUUAUCUUAAAAUUUUGUGCUUUUUACAUACUGAAUAAAAGGUACUUUUUCAUGGAAUUAACUGGAAUUCCAUAUAUUUAUGUAUUUUGUAGUUAUCUUUGCAGUGUUUAUCUUUAGGCGAUUAAAUAUUUAUUCAUUAACAUUUUUUCUUCCAGUCAAGGAGCUGGACAGCUUUACCUAAAACAAACCUAGGAAUUAAAGAUUAUAGAUUUGGUGUACUGAUUCAGUCUGUUUUAUCGAUGAAGAAAUUGAGCUCCAGAGAAACUGAGUUGCCUGAGGUUUCUAGUAUUAAGGAAUAUUUUAUUUUAGAGGUUGCUUAAGUUAGUGAAUUCACUGACUACACUUAGUUCUAAUCUGGUGAGCACAUGUUAAAAUCAGUAGUAUACAAAGUUUACUUGAGUCCUUGCAGAGACCAUCCUAUAUUUGCUUACCAAUAUUGUUUUGAAUGACAUGUACUCUAAAUAAUGACAUAAAUACUUAUUUAUGAUUCAUCUUGUUUCCGUUAGGUUUUUUAUUUUUAUUUUUUGAUAAGUUAUGACAUUCAGAAAACUGUAUGAGUCAUAAGUUUAUAGCUUUAUGAUUUAUUACAAAGUAAACACAUCUCUGUGACCACUACCCAGGUCAAGGAAUAGAAUGUUACGGGCACUCCAGAAGCUCCUCUCUUCCUCCCUUCCAGUUAUCACCCUCUUUCAGCCUCCCAGAGGUAACUGCCAUGCUGACUUCUAAAACCAAAGAGUAGUUUUGGCUGUUUUUUGAGCUUUAUGUAAGUGAAAUCACAUGGUAUGUGGUUUUUUGCUUAAUAUUAUGUCUGAAACUAAUUUGUGUUUUUCUGUGCAGAAGUAGUUCAUUCAUUCUCAUUGCUAUUGAUUCUAAUGGAUGAUGGACAUGUUUUCAGUUUGGAACUGUUAUGAAUAAUACUGAUACGAACAUUUCUGUACAUGCCUUUUGGUGGGCACACAUAUGCACACAUUUCUGUGGCAUAUAUAUUUCUAGAAGUGGAAAAGCUGGUCAUGGGUAUGCAUAUAUUCAACUCUACCAAUAAAGCCAUAUCAUUUUCCAGAUUUGUUGUUCCAGUUUAUGCUCCUUUUAGCAGUGUAUGAGAAUGCCAGUUACUUUAUAUUCAGUUAUGUGGUUUGAUUAAAAUACUAUUACAUGGUAUUUGAAAAAUCUUGUGCUAUUUUAAAAAAAUCUCCAAUGGUGGAUAUUUGGUGAUGAAUAGCUAUUUCUUCCUAAAUGAGACAUAGUAUAAAGAAAUAUGAAGUAGCAAAUCUAAAGAUUUUCAGUCCACAAAUGAGUACCUAUGGUGUGCCUGUUGGAUUACAGCAUAUUCAAACAAAACAUAGUUUUUUGUUUUCAAAGUUAUAGUCAAAUAACUUCUAAAAGAUAACUUCUGAUAUAUCUUAUUCUCUUAUAAGAAGAGGGAAAAAGUGUUAGGAUAAUGAUUAAGUUUCAUAUACUUUGCAUAAAUUUUUUUUUCCAAAAUUUUUUUUAAUGUUUAUUUUUGAGAGAGGGAGAGACGACAGAGUGUGAGCUGGGGAGGGGCAGAGAGAGAGGGAGACACAGAAUCCAAAGCAGGCUCCAGGCUCUGAGCCAUCAGCCCAGAGCCUGACGCGGGGCUCGAACUCACGGACCGCGAGAUCAUGACCUGAGCUGAAGUUGGACGCUCAACCGACUGAGCCACCCAAGUACCCCAAAUUUUGUUUUAUCUUAAACAGUGUCUUUUCUUGAUCCUUAAAAAUAUUUGGUUGUGGAAUACAGUGAAUAGUACAGCAUUUUAGGGGAUAUCGUUUGGAAAGAAUGAAAAAAUAACAUGUGUCUAUAACUUAAAGAAAUCUUGAAGGAAAUGGGAAAGAACUUUUGGUCAAAGUGAAUUUGGUAACUAUUAGGUGAAAUGUACAUGAUACUUUGAAAGAAGGCCCUGGGGAAGGAGGAGGGAAAGUAUUAUAAGGUUGUGUAUUAUUCCUGAGACGAAUGGUGGGUGUUGUGUCAGGAAUGACCAAAGCUCGAAGUGCUACUAACAGGGACAUGCAUCAUUAGGUAAAUAGGGACCCCAGCUAUUGCUUCCUUGGUAUGCUUGUGGUCAGAUACUUCAAGGAAGGCAAUGAGAUGCUAUAUGGUCUCAUUAAAGUAGUGGGAAAUUGAGUUUUAUAUCUUUAUUUUAUAUCAGUAGUAAGAAAAACAUUUUAAAUAAUUUAUAGUAUUCCAAAAAAAAAAAAUGGAAUUGAGUUUCUGAAGGAUUUGAAUGUGAAAUCUCAUUUUAGAAGACAUGUUGACGAAGAUGUGUCAACAUUUGACUAAAUUCGAAAUGCUAAGUGGAUUUGAUAGAAAUAAAGUGACUGCAUAGAAACUUAAGUCUAUUACACUACCUUAAAUGAAUCAGAAAGGCAAGGGGAGCUAUAAGAAAGGAAAUCCAAGAUAGUGUGUGUCAUAGAAGCUGAAAUAAUUUCCAGAAGGCAGAGGGGUUACUUGAACUGAGUUCAGAAAACAUUUAAACAGCUUUUGUUAUGGGCCAAGCAGGGUCAUAGCUGGUACCAUGGAUGAAUGAGUCACGGGCCUUGUUCUUUGAGCAUUUGGUGCCUAAAUAGUAUAUGAUAGUUGCAGACACAUGGAUGAUUGGAGGCUUCUUAUAGAAGGUUGUGUUUUUGAGGUUAGCUUCUGUCACUUGGUUAGUGGUGGCAAGUGUUUCCUAGUGGUCAGAGGGAUUGAGAGAACAUUUGGAUUUGUCUAGGAACUUAUUAGUCGCCCUUCAAAGUAUAGUUGCAGUAUUUUUAUGGGAGCAGAGACUAAAAUACAAGAGGUUAACAGGUAAGUGGGUAUUUGGAAAAUGGAGGCAGUGGAUCACUUAUUCUCAGUAUUUGUCACUGAACAGAAGGAAGGAUAGACAUGAGAUGAUUUUGUUUGUACCUUUUUGUUAAGGUAGGUCUGGAGACCCACUGCUAAGUUAAAAAGGAAGCAGGUAAUUGCAAGGGAAUGAUUAAAGAUCCUAAACAGAGUUGAAAUGUAUGUGGGUAGAAGUUGCUUAAAAGCUAGAUGGAAUGGUAAUAAGAGGUGAAAGGUUUACUGACUCUUUGGAAAAGAGUCAGUCAUACUUCCUCUUCUGAGAAUCACUAGAAGAAAAAGACCAGAUGCAAAGAGAGAUACAUGCUUCUGAAAAGAUGAUUGGUGAGUUUCAACUGGAAAACCUCAGAAGACUAAGGAAGAGGCAAAAUUAUCCUUGGGUGAGAUUGGGGAAGUUCCAGUUGAAGGCUUGGGGAGAGAAAACAUAGAGAUGGCCUACAGCAUAGGGAAAUAAAUCUAGACAUUUCUGAGCAAAAGAAAGCAUGGACCAUACUGAAGGUACAGGUUGGUAUUAGAACUGUACCAGGCAUAUAGUAAAUACUAUAAAUAUGCAAAAUAUUAAUUGGAUUGAAUUGGACUGAGAUCUAGAGGUCAAAUUACAGUGGUGUUAAUAUAGUAUGGUGGGUUGAGCAAAUGGUCAUGAGAAUAUUGAAGAUGAGGGGGACAGCAUGAGAGAUUAUUAGCGAAGAAUCUGAGUAGGUGUGGAGAAGCUUAAUGGUCAUGGGAGAGUUUGACUCUUGGGAAAUCAGAAACAAGUUGACAGGUUUGAGAGGGAAAGCUGCAUUUACUAUGUGCCUACUAUAUUUUAGGAACUUUGAAUGUAUUUCUAAACCAUGCAACAACCCUGCAAAUUAGGUGAUAAUAAUCAACUUGGGUCUCAAUUUUUAGUGUAUUUUAGACUUUAGAAAGUUGUGCGUUUAAGUCAAUUUCCUGUUUUUGAUAUUAAAUGAAAUUUAUUUGGCUUUAUAAUACAUAUUUAUGCUUAAUUUGAUUAGGGAUAUGAUUGAUGUUUAGGACUACUUCAGUUAAACAACUUGACUCCGUGGCAACCGGGAAAUUUAUAAUCUGUUUUCAGUAUCAGCCCUGAAUUAUCCUCAGUCACCUUUUACCAAGAGUAGAGAUGAGAUUAUGUUUCAAAGAUUUCCCUUUCUGUAAGAUGCAAAGCAAGACUAAAUUAAGUGUGAAUGCCAAUAAAGUAAGUAAUUGAGUUUAGUAAAUCAUUAUCUGCAGACGGAGAUGUUAACAUAAACAUUAAAAUGAAUGCUAUUUACAUUACUGAUUUUCAGGUCUUUUAAAGCAAGGAGUCCCCCCCCCCUUUUUUUUAAAGAUUUUAUUUUUAAGUAAUCUCUACACCCAAUGUGGGGCUCAAAUUUACAACCCUGAGAUCAAGACUCCAUGCUCUACCAAUUGAGCCAGUCAGGUGCCCCUGAAUCCCUUGUUUUUUUAAAAAUCCUACUAGAAAGCUCAAUCUGUAAGAUACAUAAAAACAGAAUACUCAGGGUGAAAUAUUUUAUUGGUGGGGUAGUGGGGGAGGGGGAGGUCCAAUCUCUUACUUUCAGUGACUAAAGAUUACCCAGUGCCUUAAAGAGCACAGAUUGCAAACUGUUUACAGUGUUUUAUGUGGAUUAUUAUACAAUAGUUCUAUGAGAUAGUACUAUUAGUAUCCCCAUUUUACAGGUGAAGAAACUGAGCUUCAAAAUGAUUAUGUGAUUUGCCUAAGAUUACACAGCUAGUAAGUGAUAAAGCCAAGAUUCCAUGCUUUCACUAGUCUUAUUUUCAGAGCCCGUACUUUAACUGCUCUGCUAUACAGAACCCUUUGUAGAAUCACUUCUCAAUGAAAAUAGGAUUCUUUGAGGGAUAAUUGGGAAUUAAACUUUAUUUUUAUUUUUUUUAAAUUUUUUUUUAAUGUUUGUUUAUUUUUGAGAGAGAGAGAGACAGAGACAGAGCUCCAGAGGCAGAAGGGCAGAGAGAGAAGGAGACACAGAAUCAAAGCAGGCUCCACGUUCUGAGCUGUCAGCACAGAGCCUGAUGCGGGGCUCGAACUCACGAACCAUGAGAUCAUGACCUGAGCCGAAGUCGGCCACUUAACCGACUGAGCCACCCAGGCGCCCUGAGAAUUAAACUUUAAAUUGGAUCACUGAGGCAUUUUUUAUGGUAAAAUAUACAUAACAUAAAAUAUACUAUUUUAAACAUUUUUAAGUGGACAGUUCAGUGGGAGCUUCUUAAAGCCAUAAAAAAUGAUAUGUUGUUGCUUAAAAGAAUGGUUUUGAAUCUCAGCUUUGGGGUAACUAUUAAGGGUUGAUGAGUUUUGUUUUAUGUUAUGACAUUAUUGAAUUCUUGAAAGCAUUUGAGUAUUUACUGUGUGCCAGGAAUUGUGCUGGUAGAUGCUAGGGAUAUAAAGAUGAAUAAGAACUAAUCUCUGCAUUCAUCUUUAGUAGACAAGACAGACUUACUAAAUUAGACCUUCUAAAGUAGACAUUCUAGGUGUACUACUAGACCCAGAACAGUAAUACGGUGUGUAAGUUAUGGGAAAAUGAGUGCUUACCAGUUCAAGGAGAGAGAGAGAGAGAGAGAGAGAGUGUCUGUGUGUGUGUACACGUACAUUUACAUACAGGCUUCCUAGAAGUAGUAGAACUUGAGUUUAAUCUAAAAGACAUUACUUAUCAAGUGGAGGAAGGUGGGAGGUGGGGGGUCAGUGUUGUAGGCGUAGAGAACUUCUUGUACAUAUUAAUGGAGAUAGGAGAAAGUUUGAAUUCAGGCCAACAUUUCAACAUGGUUGAGCAUGGAUUACCUAUGGGAGAAGAGAAGCAAAUAAGGGUGGAGGGGCAUUGAUAUCUUUAGGAAGAGAAUAAAAAGAACAAGUAUAUAUGUUAGGAGGGCGAAGGCAGAUAUAGGCAUAUGAUGAUACUGUUGAUUUGUAUAAAUAUUUUUUAAAUCAUUUGGAAACUAAGUACAAUCAGAUAUAACAGGCUUGGAUCUUAGCAGUUUUUGAGCAAAUUAAUGUAGCGUCAUCAGUUCUUAGUUCUGCAGGUCAGUGAGAGGGAAAUACAUAUCUGUCGAGCAUUUACCAUGUUUUGGGACUUGGGAUCUGUUCUUCUGAACUCUGGAAUAACCCUGUCAAGUAGAUGAUCACCUAAGGGAAACAGACUGAGAGGUUCCAAGAACUGCUCAAGGUUAUGCAGUUUAGAGAGAUGGCAGUUGGAAACCUUGGGGUCCUUCAGCUCUACAUUUGCUGCUGACUUACCUUUGCCACAUAUGGUCCUAAUUGACUAGUGAAUCUAUUUUAUUAUUAAACAGUUGAAGUUAGAUAUAUUGCAGUGAGAUUAAUCCAAAACAUGUUGAUGAUACAUACAGCAGAGUUAAGGAUGGGAUUUAAUAGAACAGUAUAAACAAAUACAGAGAUUGGCAUAUAAGACAUUAAAGUCUUUUAUUCUAUGGGCUUCUUUCAUGAUUUUGUGUAUUGUACAUUAAUAGAACAACCUCAGGAUUUAAUUGUUAGUUAGCUGUUGAAAAUAAUUUAGAAGGAUGUCCUUCUGGAUAACUUUCAAAUUGGUGUAUAUUUUUAUUGGGUUCUAAUUUUUGCUAAUACUCAUGUUGUUAUAUGUUAAGGUCAUAUUAGCCUGAAAAAUUAAAAGAUGAGGAUAUUUCUACAACUUAAUAGAAUGACUGUCUUUCACAUAAGUUUUUAAAGGAAUUUUACAUAUAGAAGGUAAUAAUUGAUGUCUUCAAGAGGAGGAAAAAGCAUGGUCUUUUUAAAAUUAAAAACUUAAAAAUUUAAUUUCAGUAAGUUUUUAUUUUAGAAUAUGGGGCCCCACCACUUUAAGUCUUCCUUGCUUUUUUUCCUUGAUGAGAAUUUUAAGCUUUUUUUCCUGCUGGAGCUUACAUCUCUAGUUUGGUUGGGGUAAUUUUUUAAAAAUUUCUUUCUUGGAAGUCUAUAGAAUUUUUAGAACUUUUGAAUAUGUGAAUGGAAAGUAAACUACAGUAUACAAUGUUGAGUUAUAAGAUACCUUCACAGGCAUCUUAUCGAAACCUGUCAUUGAUGAGGAAACUGAAGUCCAGAGGGCUAACUGUGUCGUCACACAUUCAGUUACUGUCAGAGAUUAGAAUUUUGGUCUCCUGAUAAGGGAAAAACAAAUAAUAGUAAUAGGUUUUAGUCUGUAGUUCGGGGUAAUGAAUUUUUUCUUUUGGAUCCUGUUAGCCUACUUUGAAAAUGUCUGUGUAGGCUUAUAAGUAACUGUUAGGUAAAUUAAGAAGAGACAUAUUUAAUAUCCAUAUUAAAGAAUUACUUUCAGAGUACUUUGGGUAGAAGUUUUCUUUUUUUAUUUUCUUUUAUUUUUAAAAAUUUAUUUUUGAGAGACAGAGACAGAGAGACAGAAUCUGCAGCAGGCUCUAGGCUGUCAGCACAGAGCCCGACUCGGCUCGAACCCAAGAACUGUGAGAUCAUGACCUGAGCCAAAGUCAAACACUCAACAGACUGAGCCACCCCCAGGUGCUCCUUGGGUAGAAGUUUUCUAACCAUUUGAGGGCUGAAAAUUGGGUCACAGUUUGUGAUUUGCUAUCCAGAUGUCUUUUAUUACUGCACUUCCCAUGUAAAACUGAACAUACUACCAAAGGGUAGAUUCUACAGCAUGUCAUGCUUCUUAUUCAAAAAGAACUUGAGAAAUACUUGGGGGGGAGGGGAGCAAUAAACAAUGGGCCAUAAUACACAUGCACUGGAAUAUUAUUCAGCCUUUAAAAGAAGGGCAAUUCUGAAACAUACUACAAAAUGGAUGAAUCUUGAGGAGAUUAGGCUAAGUGAAAUAACCCAGUCACAUGCAAAUACUGUAUGGUUCCACUUAUGUCAGGUAUCUAGAAUAGUCAAAUUCCUAGAAAGAGAAAGUAGAAUGGUGGUUGCCAGGGAUGUGGGGAGGGAGAAAUGAGGAAUUGUUUAAUGGAUGCAUGGUUUCAAAUUUGCAAGAUGAAAAAGAGAAUGUGUGCACAAUGUGAAUAUAUGUUAAAAGGUUCUGAAUUGUACCCCUAAAAAAUGGUUAACUAAGGUUGUAAGUUUUUUGCUUAUAUAUGUUUUACCGUAAUUAAAAAUAAAAAAUAUUUUUUACAUGGACCAUAAACUCCAAUGUCCAGGUAACCAGUGUUGCCAUUUUUUGAAAAAAACUUUCAUGUAAGAUUUUUUAAAAGAACAAAAACAAUUUCUGCCUUAUGAAGCAUUCCCUCUCCCCAACCAAAAAGAAAAAUUGGUCCAUUCCAUGAGUAUUUAUUGACUACUUACUAUAUUUUGUAUACUUAUUAUAUACUUAUAUAAUAAGUACUAGGGAUACAUCAUAUAAAAAUUUUCUUUUUUUUUUUAAAUUUUUUUUUUUACAUUUAUUUAUUUUUGAGAAACAGAGUGAGACAAAGCGUGAACGGGGGAGGGGCAGAGAGAGUAGGAGACACAGAAUCUGAAGCAGGCUCCAGGCUCUGAGCAAGCGGUCAGCACAGAGCCUGAUGCGGGGCUCGAACCCACGAACUGUGAGAUCAUGACCUGAGCCGAAGUCGGACACUCAACCGACUGAGCCACCCAGGCGCCCCCAUAUAAAAAUUUUCGACGUAGAACUUACAUUUUAUGGGAAGCAUAAACUUUAAACGUGACAAAUAUAUAAAAUAUAUAGAAUGUUAGCCAGUGCUAAGGUAGAAAAAUAAAGCAGGGAAGGGGAAUAUCCCGUAUGGGACAGGAAAUGGGGACAUUUCACUUAUUUAUUUUUAAUGUUUAUUUAUUUUGAGAGAUAGAGAGUGAGGGGGGGGGCAGAAAGAGAGGGAGACAGAGAAUCCAAAGCAGGCUUUGCACCGUCAGCAUGGAGCCUAAUACAGGGCUCAAACCCACCAGCUGUGAGAUCGGGACCUGAGCCAAAAUCAAGAGUCAGCGCUUAACCAACUGAGCCACCCAGGUGCCCUGGAAAUGGUGACAUUUUAGAUAGGGUGGUCAAGAAGGGCCUCAGUGAGAAAGUUACUUUUGAGGAAAGAACUGGAUGGAAUGAAAGAAGACUGUACAUAGCAAGUGCAAAGGCCUUGAGGAAAAAACAUGUCUGGCUUUUUUAAUUAAAAAUAUUUUUUAAGGGGUGCCUGGGUGGCUCAGUCGGUUGAGCGUCCUUCUUCGGCUCAGGUUAUGAUCUCACAGUUUAUGAGUCCUGCAUCGGGCUCUGUGCUGACAGCUCAGGGCCUGGAGCCUGCUUCCGGUUCUGUGUCUCCUCUCUCGCUGCCCCUCCCCCACUUGUGCUCUGUCUCUCCCUGCCUCUCAAAAAUAAAGAAACGUAAUAAAAUUGUUUUUAAUAUUUUUAAAAGUUUAUUUUGCAAGAAUGAGUGAGCAGAGGAGGUGCAGAAAGAGGGAGAGAGAGAAUCUCAAGCAGGCUCUUCGCCGUCAGUGCAGAGCCUGACGCAGGGCUCUAUCUCACAACCAUGCCCUGAAAUCAAGAGUUGGUCCUUUAACCAACUGAGCCACCCAGGUACCCUUUAAUAAAAAAUAUUUUUAAAUUUAAAUUAAAUUUUUAAUGUGUUAUGUGUAAAAUUCAGUGGCAUUAUUUCCACUGACAAUAUUGUGUAACCUUCACUACUGUCUUCCAUUUCUUCCCUACCUCCCUAAACAGAAACUACUCAUUAAGAGAUAACUCCUUAUUUUUCCCUCUCCCUAGCCUCUGGUAAUCUCUAAUCCUUUUAUCUUUAUGAAUUUGCCUAUUCCACAUAUUCUAAAUAUUUUGUAUAGUGGAAUCAUAUAAUAUUUUCCCUUUUGUGUCUACUUAUUAUACUUAGCAUAAUGUUUUCUAGGUUCAUCCACAUUGUAGCAGGUAUCAGAACUCUAUCCCCUUUUUAUGGUUGGAUCACAUUCCAUUUUAGGUAUCUACCAGAUUUUGUUCAUUCGUCUGUUGAUGGAUACUUGGACUGUUUUCAACUUUUGGCUGUUGUGAAUAAUGCCGCUAUGAACUUUUGCAUAUAAAUAUUUGGGUCUCUGUUUCUAAUUCUUUGGGGUGUAUAGUUUGUAUCUAGAAGUAGAAUUCCUGGGUUAUAUGGUAAUUCUUUAACUUUUUAAGGAACAACCACACUUUUUCAUAGUGGCUGUGCCAUUUUACAUUACUAAUGGCAAUGUAGGAGUAUUCCAACUUUCCCACAUCUUUUCAAACACUUAUUACUUUUCAUUUUUAAAAUAAUAUUCCUAGUAGUUGUGAAGUGAAAUCUUAUUGUGAUUUUGAUUUGCGUUCUCCUAAUGACUGAUGUUGAGUAUCUCUGUUAAUUGGGCAUGCCUACAUCUUCUUUGGAUAAAUGUUUAUUGAAGUCCUUUGUCCAUUUUAAAAUUGGGUUGAGUAUAGUAGUGAGUUUUUGGGAGUUCUUUAUAAAUUCUAGAUAUUGGGGCGCCUGGGUGGCUCAGUCGGUUAAGCGGCUGACUUCGGCUCAGGUCAUGAUCUUGCGGUCUUUGAGUUCGAGCCCUGCGUUGGGCUCUGUGCUGACAGCUCAGAGCCUGGAGCCUAUUUCAGAUUCUGUGUCUCCCUCUCUCUGACCCUCCCCCAUUCAUGCUCUCUCUCUGUCUCAAAAAUAAAAAUAAACAUUAAAAAAAAAUUUUUUUUAGAAAUAAUAAAUUCUAGAUAUUAAACUUUUAUCAGAUACAUGAUUUGCAAAUAUUUUCUCCCAUUCUGUGGGUUGUCUUUUUACUCUGUUGAUAGUAUUCUUUGGUGCACAAGUUUUUAAUUUUUAUGAAGUUCAAUUUAUCUUUUUUUCUUCUUUUAUUACCUGUGCUUUUGAUAUUAUAUUUAAGAAACCAUUGCUAAUCCAGAGUCAUGAAGAUUUGCCCCUAUGGUUUCUUCUAAUAGUGUUAGUUUUAGCUCUUAAAUUUAGAUCUUUGAUAUAUUUCAGUUGAUUUUUUUUAUGGUGUAAGGUAAGAGUUCAGCUUUAUUCCUUUGCAUGUGGCUCUCCAGUUUUCCCAACAUCAGUUGUAGAAGAGACUAUUUUUUCCCCAUUGAAAAACUGUCAAAAAUCAGUUGACCAUGUGAAGGUUUAUUUUUGGACUUUCCCUACUAUUCCAUCAGUCUAUAUUGUCUAUCCUUAUGCCAAUACCACAUGUUUUGAUUACUGUAGUUUUGUGGUAAGUUUUGAAAGUGGGAAGUGUGGGUCUUCCAACUUUGUUCUUUUUCAAUAUUGUUUUGGCUCUUCUGGGUCCCUUGAAAUUCCAUAUGAAUUUUAGGAUCAGUUUUUUUGUAUAUGCAAAAAAAUCAUUGGAAUUUUGAUAGAAAUUGCAUUGAAUGUAUAGAUUGCUUUGGGUAUUAAUGUCAUCUCAACAAUAUUAAGUCUUCCAGUCCAUGUACACAGGAUGUUUUUCCAUUUAUUUAGAUCUACCUUAAUUCCUUUCAGCAGUGUUUUGUCUUCAAAACAAUGUAUAGUCUUCAGUGUACACAUCUUACAUGUCUUUCAUUAAAUUUAUUCCUAAGUAUCUUAUUUUCUAAUGUUAUUGUAAAUGGAAUUGUUUUCUUUCUUCCUUUCUUUCCCUUUCUAUUUUAUUUUUAAGUAAUCUCUAUGUUUAAGUAAUUCUUUCUUGUCCUUUCCUUUCCUUUCCGUUUCGUUUCGUUCCGUUCCUUUCCUUUUUAUUCACACCCAAUGUGGGACUUAGGCUCACAACCCUUAGGUCAAGAGUCACACACUCUACCAACUGAUCCAGACAGGUCCCCCAAUGGAAUUGUUUUCUUUAUUUCCUUUACAUAGUGUUGAUUACUGUCUCACAGAAAUACAACUGUUUUUUCUGCAUAGAUUUGUAUCCUACAGUUUUGCUGAAUUUGUUUAUUAGCUCUAACAGUUUGUGUGUAUGUUUUCUACACACAUACAAGAUCAUGUAAUCUGUGAACAGAGAUAAUUGUACCUUUUCCUUUCUAAUUCAGAUGGCUUUUCUUUUACUUUCUUGCCUGUUUUCUCUGGCUAGAUCCUUCAGUCUACGUUGAAUACAAGUAGUGAAAGUGGGCAUCCUUGUCUUGUUCCUGAUUUGGAGACAAAAGCUUUCAUUCUGUUACUGUUGAGUUUGAUGUUAGGUGUUAAGUUGUUUAUAUAGGGCCUUUAUCAUAUUGAGGAAAUUCCUUUCUAUUCCUAUUUUAUUAAGUGUUUUUAUCAUGAAAGGGUGCUGGAAGGGUAGUAGAUUUUGUCAUAUGCUUUUUUUGCAUCAAUUGAUAUGAUGAUGUUCUUUUACCAUCUUUCUAUUCAUGCAGUGUAUUAUAUCGAUUGACUUUUGUAUGUUAAUUACCUUUACACGUGUAGGAUAAUUCUCACUUUUUCAUAUAAUACACCGUAUAUGUACAUAUAUGUAUAAAAUGCUGUGGGAUUUGGUCUGCUAAUAUUUUGUUGACAAUUUCUCCAUCUAUGUUUAUAAGAGAUAUUAGUCUUUAGUGUCUUGUUUUUUGGUUUUGAGUUUUUUGCCUUGUGAUGUCUUUGGCUUCAUUAUCAGGCAUAAUGUUGGUCUCACAAAAUGAGUUAGAAAGUACUUCUACCUUUUUAUUUUUGUGGAACAAGUUGAGAAGAAUUAGUGGUGUCAAUUCUUUAAGUAUUUGGUAGAGUUCACUAUUAAAGCCAUCUGGUCCUGGACUUUUGUCCAGGGAAGUUUGGGAAGUUUUUGAUUACAGAUUCAAUCUUAUUUGUUAUAGGUCUAUUUAGAUUUUCAGUUUCUUUUUGAGUCAAUUUUUGUAGUUUACAUGUCAUGUAAUUUGUUCAUUUCAUCUAAGUUUAUCCAAUUUAUUGGUGUGUAGUGUUCAUAUUAUUCUUAUUUAAAAAGGACUUAUUCUUAUAUAAAAAGGACUUAUACAGUACUUCUAUAGUCUUAUAAGAUAUGUAAUAUCCUCUCUUGUUUCUGUUUUUAGUAAUUGGGAUCUUGUCAAUUUUGUUGAUCUUUUCAGAGAACUAAUGUUAAAUUUAAUUGAUUUUCCUCUUUUGUUUUUCUCUUCUUUAUUUCAUUUAUCUCUGCUCUAUUAUUUCUUUCUGCUUCCUUUGCAUUUAGUUUGCUUAUUGCUUUUUAAAAAAAAUUUUUUUUAAUGUCUAUUUUUGAGAGACAGAGUGUGAGCGGGGGAGAGGCAGAGAGAGAGGGAGACAUUGAAUCCAAAGCAGGCUCCAGCCUCCUAGGUGUUAGCAGAGAUCCCGAGGCGGGGCUCAAACCCACGAACCUCGAGAUCAUGACCUGAGCCAAAGUCAGGUGCUCAACCUACUGAGCCACCGAGGUGUCCCAAGUUUGCUUAUUUUUUUAAGGUGUACAGUUAGGUUAUCAAUUUGAGAUUUUUUUUAAUGCGGUUGUUUACAAGUAUAAAUUUCCCUUAGACCAUUGCUUUUGCUGCAUCAUAACUUUUGCUUGUGUUUUCAUUUUUAUUCAUCUGAGGGUAUUUUCUAGUAUCUCUUUAUUUUUUAUAUAGGAUUUUUCACAUUUCAAUAAGCUGGAAAAAUUUUUGCUGAUAGCUUUGAAAAGAGAAGCUGUAGGGGAGACAUAAGUCUUCAAGAAUUUGAAGGUUGUCAUAAUUAGGUUUGUUUUAAACAAUCUUAAAGUACAUGCCUAGGAAGGCAGGAGGAAAAUUGAACUUCUAAAGAAAUUUUUAACAGAUAUUCAAGUAGUUUCCUUAACAGGGACUGUUCUAGAAGUUCAUAGACCUUUUUUUUCUUUUUUUUUUUUAAACAAAGAAAUGGUAAAUUGAAGUUUGCCAGCUUUUUAUUUUGCCAAGUAAAGAUAUUCUUUAAAAUGACAGAUAAAUAUUUCUAGGUACAACUUAAGUGUUUUGGUCACUGUUAUUGAGAGAGUUGCUAUUUGCUAUCCAAAAAUAACUUUAAAUUUUACCACAGUAAAAAAGUUAAUCAAGUGUUAGGCCAGAGAAAUUUUGAACAGUGAAAUAGCUCCCUAUUGCCUCUAGGAUAAAGUCCAGAUUUCUUAACAUGGCUAAUUUAAAGCCUUAGAUAUCUGACCUCUGCUUGCCUCUCAACAUCUCUGUUUUGGCUAGUAGUAUGCUCUGGCCACACUACACUAUUGAGUAGUUCUCUAAAUGCUAAGUCCUCCUUUACCUCUGGGCAUUUCUUGUAGUGUUUCCACUGUGUCCUUGCCAGUUUUAGGAAUAAUGCAAGAGAGUGAAAGGAUUGUAAAACACCUGUUUCCUAUUUUAAUAGGGGUUACCACUUCCUUUAUUUAAUACAGUACUUUAUAAUUCACCUUUGAGGCAGACAGGACUGUAGUUAAUAGUUUGUGUUGUUAUGUUAUUUGUUUUCUGUUUUUUGGGUUUUUUUGUUUUUGUUUUUGUUUUUUUACAGAUGAAAACAAAUAGUGUGUGAUCUUCUCAAAAUCAUACAGCUAGGAAGUGGAAGAGGCAGGACUCUGGUCUAUGUUUCGUUUUAGGUAUCAUGUUCUUCCUAAUUCUUAUGCAGUCAUCCACUGAUUCAGCAAAAAUUUAUUGUGUGCCUACUAAGCUAGGCAACAUACUAAGGAUACGAGGAUGAUAAAGGUGUUCCUUUUUUUUCCCGAGGGUAUAUAGUCUAGUGGAGAGAAAAUAAAAAGAAAUAUAAUACAGAUUUAUAAUGGAGUGUUAUUUGUAGUAUGCACAGGUUACUAGACAGUUGAAUCAGGUGAUUCUGAAGCUGAAUUUUCUCCAAAUAUAAAUUUGAAAUAGCUAUGAGUAGCUCAUAAACAAAGUAAAAAUUAAUGUAGCACAAAUUUAAUGUAUAGAAAUGCUGAAGAGAUGACUAAUAGAAAACUAAUAAUUUGGUAGGGAUCAGUGCUCUUCGUAUUAAAUGGGAUGAGACUCUUAAUGUGUAGAAUUUACUGGGAAGACUAAUUCAUUUAGUAGAAAAAUAUUGAGAGAUUUAUUUGGAGAAUACAGAGAUGUCUUGGAAAGAAAGCAACUGUUAGAUAUUGAGGAAGUCAAUUUACAAUUGAAGUAUGUUUAUAUACAUAAAUCCUGUUUCAGAACUCAUAUUCAAUGAUUUUGUUUUUACUCUUAAGGCCCAGUUCGAGUGUUAGCUCAUCUCUAUGCCUUUGCCGAUCUUCUCCAGAAAUAAUUAACUGCGAUCUAAUCUGUGCCACCAUAACAUAGUGCUGUGUAUACAUCUCUGCUAAGGCAUAUAUCACUGUGUGUUUAUGUGUUUUCUUCCCCUCUGGAUUAUGAACUUUGUGAAGGCAGGGAUUCUGUCCUUUUGAUGUUUGAAUCCGUUUUGUUUGAUCCUCAGGUCAUUGGCAUCCAGUAAAUAUAGAAAUGAAGAUAGAGAAGUAAUUUCAUUUUGAUUCUAAAUACUUGUCUCAACCUUAGAAGAAUUCUGUCCCCCAAAUGUAUUCUUUUAAUGUACUUAAUCGAUAAGGCCCCCUACAGCAGUACUCCCAACUUACGUUUCUGCCUUUAUUUUCUACUUUUCUUCCUUUGUUAUAUACCCUCUGCAGUGGUCAUACUGUACUUACUUCCUUCAUGCUAUUUCUUUAUUCCUGAAUUCUUUGACCUUCCCUUCCAGUCCUUUUCUAAUAAGACUUCUUCAAAUGCUAACUGUUCCAAGAAGUUUUUCCUGAAUAACUUGCCAAAAAUGUUAUUUUUAUAAAUUAUCUUCUCGAUGAACCUGUGCCUCUCUUAGGACACAGUUACCAUAUUUUAUUCAAUAUGUACUGUGUUUUUCUUGUGCCAUUCCCCCCUUUUUCCUCCAUUUAAAUUCUGAACUUCCUGAGGGCAGAAACUUUUGCAGUUUCUACAGAGUUGCUUUGGAUAUAAUAGACAGUCCAUAAAUAUUUGCCUAAUUAAACAACAAGUUAAAACAAGCUUGAUGUGAUAUUUUCAUAAAGUUAGAAAAUGGUACAUUUACAGAAUAAAUUACAACACUAGAUCUUAAGAACUUAAAUGAGCCUUGUGUCAAUUGUAGAAUAAACUGUUCAAAUCAGAAAACAUGGCUUUAUUAGAUUUUUUGUGCAUUUUUUCAUAGUUCACCUUCAGUCUCAGUUUUUAUAACUAAGGUCAACUACUUACAUAUAUCUUAUCACAUAUGGAAUCUGUAUCUUCUUAGUAUAGUAUUGGUGUUUACAUUAUUAGAUGUUCCUCUUAUGUACUUACUUUUAGCAAAGCACAAGUAAAGUGCUGAUAAUGUUCUAUUUACAUGUCUAAAUUCCCUCAGGUAUCAAUUACUACUUAUCAUCGAGUUUGUGUAGGUUGUUGUUUAUCCAUAAAUGUUUAUUGGAUGAGAAAAUGGCAAACUUGUUCUUUUUUUUUUAAUGUUUUAUUUUUUUUUUAAUUUUUUUUUAUGUUUAUUUUUGACAGAGAGAGAGAGACAGAGCAUGAGCGGGGGAGGGGCAGAGGGAGAGGGAGACACAGAAUCCGAAGCAGGAUCCAGGCUCUGAGCUGUCAGCACAGAGCCCGACGCGGGGCUCGAAUUCACAGACCGCAAGAUCAUGACCUGAGCUGAAGUCGGACGCUCAACCGACUGAGCCACCCAGGCGCCCCUGUUUUAUUUAUUUUUGAGAGAGAGAGAGAGAGACAGACAGAGCGUGAGCAGGGGAGGGGUAGAGAGAGAGGGAGAAACAGAAUCCAAAGCAGGCUCCAGGCUCUGAGCUGUCACCGUAGAGCCUGAUGUGGGGCUCAAACCCAUGAACCAUGAGAUCACGACCUGAGCCGAAGUCGGAUGCUUAACUGACUGAGCCACCCAGGUGCCCCCAAACUUGGUUUCUUAAUUAAAAUGUCUACUUCUCCCAUAUUUUUGUUAAGCUUCAGGUUAUAUAAAUGUAGAAAACACUCUGCUUUAGCAUAAUUUACCAUCAUGUACAAAAUUGCAAAGACUGUACCAGUUCUUUCCUGUAUGGACUGUUUUGUUACUGCUCUGGUAUAUAUUUAUUUCCAGAGCAGUUUCCUAAAAAUUCUUUAACUGUUUUUUUAAGAACAAAUGUAUAAGCAUAUAGUAAAUCUGUAUAAAUUAAUGUUUUAUAUUUAUUUAUAUUUAAGUUCACUGUUAUCACUGUAAAUAGAACUGUAUGAACUAAAGUCAUAUCUGUCAACAUUCAGUUGGGCAGUAGAUUUUUAUAGUUCUGGGUUCUGAACUCUUGAAGUAAUACAUUCUCAUUAUUUAAGAAGUUAAUCCUAAGAUGCAUAUUUUUUUCCCCUUUUAAUAUCUCUGAAAUUGGGAUGUGUCUCAGUCAGUAUUUCCCAGGUGGCUGUCAUGGAAUCGUUGUCUGUGUGUACACAAAGUUAGUCAUGGUUCUUUAUCUUGCCAUCGCCUCAGUUGGGCUACAUACAAUAGUACCACAUGUGUUUGUUAUUUAAAAUAUCUUUACAAAUAUACUCUGUUUUUCAGUAUUUAACCACAAAGGCAUUGAUUACGUAGAGAGGCACAGAAACAGAGUAGCAGAGCAUAAAUUUAAUAUUAGUGAAGCAAAUAUUUGUUGAAGAAAUGACAGCAAUUCCACAUUUACUUACAGAGCAACAAUCAAGUGCUUUAUGGACCAAGCAGAGUACCUCAAGGCAGAAGAAAUUGUCAGAUCCUUUGGAAUAAGACUAAGUCUAAAAACCUUUAAAAAGGUCAUUUCGUUCAUUAUAAAAUAAAAAUGUGAAGUGGUAUAGUGCCGUAGUUUAAUUGACGGCAUUUUUUUUUUCUUCAUGUUAUAUCAGGUAAUGAUGUAUCUCAUAUUUGAUGAUGUAUUGGAUUUGGUAACUUUCAUUGUAUCUCAUUUUAUGUUCCUCUUGAUAAACAUACAUCCAUAUAAAAGCAUAAGACACGGAUUUCUUGAUUAAUGACUUAGGUAUACAUAAAAGUUCCCUAGUCUGGAGUCUGAAGCUGAAAAUAAGAUAUGCUCCAGAGACGUGAUUUAACCUACCUUAUAUUUUUCUAAUGGCUUUGUUCAUUGCAGACCACAUAGCCCUUCAUCUGUUCCAUCUCACAAUUAUAGAAUCUAGAAAAAUAAUUUUUUUCUGUAUUUCACUUCUAAAAUCACAUAUUUGUUAAAGCACUUGGAUACCAUUGUGCUUAACAAUGAGUCAAUUUCUAAUUACAAUUAAUAUAGACUUUGGUAGGUUUUACUUUUCAGAAUUUUUCAAAAGUAUUUCUACAUUAAAAUAGUGAACAUUUUGUUUAGGAAAUUUGUAUUUCCUAAUAUGGACCUCCCAAAAUAGAAGUUCUGGAAGAGUUUCUUAGGCCUUUGCUAAUUUUUUUUUUUAAGUUUCUUUCUUUUUUUGAGAGAGAGAUAGCGCAAGUAAGGGAGGGGCAGAGAGAGAGGUGAGAGAGAGAAUCCCAAGCAGCCUCUGCACUGCCAGUGGGGCUUGAACCCAUGAAGCCAUGCGAUCAUGAUCUGAGCCGAGAGCAAGAGUUGGACACUUAACCAACUGAGCCGCCCAGGCGCCCCUGGCCUUUACUAAUUUUUAAAUAAACUAAUAUGUAGAGGAGCAGGAACCUCCAUUUGUGGUUCUCUGUGCAAGACAGUAGGGCAGAGCCAUAAAUUGCCUUUAUGAAAAAAUGUUUGGAAUAAUACAGGCCUAGAAGAAAAUUAGCUAGCCAUUUCAUGUUAAUGAGUAACCCAUUAGAUCCUUUCCACACAGAAGUAGCGUGUAUGUGUGUGUGUAUAUAUACAUAUAUUUACAUAAAUGUAAUCAUUUUUUCUCUUAAGACUAUCAUAAGACUAAUUUAUUGCUUAGCUCAAGCUGCUACUGUUUAUUUUUGCCUUAGUUUGAUUGUCACCACACAUUUAUUUGCACAGUUUAGUAAGUAAGCAAUAUUUGUAUUCCAAAUGAUCUACUGGGACAAGGGGGGAGACUUAGGGACAGAGUAAUGAAUAUGACUAUUAACAGGAAGGUGCUUGCUUUUGCUACAUGGAUAUCUAAAUCAGUUGGUUCUUAGGAAGGCUCAUCUUCCAUGGGGGUGGGCAAGGGCACCAUGGUAGCAAUAUGUGGGAACAUCCCCGACCUAUCACCUGUCUGCAUGGUCUGUCAACUGACCAGAUAGCUAAUUCAUCUCAUUUGGGCCAAUCUGGGAAGGUCUGAUGUCAGCUAUCUUAACAUUACUUUCAAGUGUAAUACAUACAUUUUUUAUGCACGCCAAAGCUGCUAGGGAGUGAUGGCCAUUUCAUGGUCUAAGUGAAAGUCUGACAUACCAUUCUCAAGUUUACAUUCUAUCAAAAUAUAUGAACUUCAUAAUGAAAGUAAUAUGCACUAUUACUUUUAAAUACAUAUAGUCAUGUCCCAUGCACCAGCAUUUUUUUCCUUGUAAGGAAUAUUAAUGAGCUUUUUGCAAUGAAUUAUUCUAUAAAAAAUACUGUACACUGAGAUUGUAGGUUUUUAAAAUCAUAUAUAAACUUUGUAGAACUUUAAUGAAUACUCAUCAUUAAACUUUGAUUGCUUUUUCUUAUUUUCCUAGGAUUCUGACACUUCAUGACAUGUCAUUAUCUAGAGCAAUAAUGAACAUUGACCUGUUUCGGAUUAGUUGAUGACCUUUGGAAAUGAUCCAAUAGUAUCUACUACAGAGAAGCUGAAUAUACUUCAUUUGGAGUGAACAGCUCAGAUCGUCACUGGAUUUUUCAAGAUGACAGAUCCAAUGAUGGACUUUUUUGAUGAUGCCAAUCUUUUUGGUGAGACCUUAGAAGGUUUGUCAGAUGAUGCAUUUGUACAGCCAGGACCUGUUUCACUAGUCGAUGAAUUGAACCUGGGUGCAGAAUUUGAACCUUUGCACAUAGACUCACUCAACCAUGUUCAAGGUACUCCAACACAUCAGAAGAUAACUGAUUAUGAGCAGUUAAAUCAGUUUGAUUCAAUGAAAUUUCACCAGGUCAAUCAGCCUUUUGGUAGCCCAGCUGAACACGUGUUAUCUCCACACUCUCAGUUUAAUUGUUCUCCAAUCCAUCCUCCAAACCAACCCAAUGGUUUGUUUCCAGAUGUAGCAGAUGGCAGUCCAAUGUGGGGCCAUCAGACAGCUACCAGCAUUUCAAAUCAAAAUGGGUCUCCUUUCCACCAACAAGGACAUUCUCACCCUAUGCAUCCAAAUAAAAGCUUUGUGGUACACCAUGACUUUGCCUUAUUUCAGGCCAGUGAACAACAAACACAGUGCACUUCACUACGCUCACAGCAAAACAGAAACAGUCUUAACCCAGGGCAAAAUUCUCUUAGCCAGUCUAAAAAUUUUAUGGAUGUUAAUGUUUCUGGUCCACACAGAGUCAGUGUUAGCCACCCAUCACAAAUUACGAAUGCAUCUACGUCGCAACAGUCUCUUUCAA
This 79727-nucleotide long non-coding RNA is filed under the name Lynx pardinus (Iberian lynx). The record is from RNAcentral. Lineage: Eukaryota; Metazoa; Chordata; Mammalia; Carnivora; Felidae.